This 82304-nucleotide long non-coding RNA is filed under the name Vitis vinifera (wine grape). The record is from RNAcentral. Lineage: Eukaryota; Viridiplantae; Streptophyta; Magnoliopsida; Vitales; Vitaceae.
CCUCUAAGACUUAGGAGGCGGAGCUAAAUGAAAGCUUCCCUUAUAAGUAAACAUGAGUUGGUUGAGCUAUGAGUAAAUUCUAAAGGCCCAUAAAAAGAAGGAAAGGGAAAAGGUGACAUUACACCCAUAAAAUUGAAGUUGUGAGAUGGUAAUAAUUAUAAUCCAAAUUGAUAUCAGUAAUCUAAAUUGGAAUUUUUGAUCCACCAUUUGAAUAAUAUCUUUACUUUUUAAGUUGCAAAUCCACUUUAUUUCUAUAAUUAAUUGAUAUAUCUAUAUCCCUAAGGAUAAAUAUCAAAUUAUGCCUUAAUGGAAUUACCAUAAUCAUGGAUUAAACUUGAUCAUUAAUCUUAAGAGAUUACUCAAGAUGAUAUAAUUAUCUCAAAUAUUGAGAUAUCAUGGUAUUCAUGUUAAAGAUAGAUUUUACUACAUAUUGAAAUAAAUAAUCAUUCAUAUCAGCGAUAAUGUAUUAUUACUUUAUGAACUCACUCGUGCACAAACUCAAAGAAAUUACUAAUUCAAUAAUAUUUUAAUGAUCUUCCAAGAUUAAGUACACAUGUAACAUAUACUUUAAAGAAAAUAUCAAUGUUUUUAUAAUCGGACUAGUCAUCGAACUGGAAAAGUUACAAGUUCACUGAUUGAACCAAUAGUUGAACCCGUAAUGUCAUAAAUAUAUAUUUUAUAUACUAUUAAAAUUAAAAAUAAUUAUAAAAAUAAAAAUAAUAAAUUUUACCAAUUCAUCAUAUAUCAUAUUUCUAAUACAAUAGUAGAUGUUAUGUGUUCAUAAUAUAAAUCAAUACAUUACUUUUAUCAAACCAUUAUUAUCCUAUAUCCACAAAUGAGCAAUGAACUAACAAUGGUAAAAUUAUUUGAAAAUCAGAAAAUUAGUUUCAAAUCAUAAGUUUAGAUUAAAAUCAAAAUUUUAAUUUAAAAUUAGAAAUUUUAAAUUUUAUUUUUAAAUCAUAAACUUAUUUUAAAAUUAGAAAUUUAUUUAUUUAAAAUAUGAGGACACGAUUAUUUUCAAAAAUUUAUUUAACGUCAUAAUGUUCAUUAAUUUAGAUUAAAAUCACAAAUUUUAAAAAUCAUAAGUUAUAAAAAUUACAAAUAUAAAAAUUAAGAUAAAUAAGGAAAUAAAGUAAUAGAGUAAAAAGAAAUAAAGAAAAUCUGAAGAUGGACUUGUGGCCGAUGGGAUGCCAUCCUCGUCGACCGACGGUGUCGGGUUGGCUGGGCUGGAAGUGGGAGUUUGAAGGGAGCAGCAUGCAACUUGGAGAGAGGAGGAACAUGCUAGAAGAAGAAAGGGAAGGCAGAAAACAAAAAGAAAAAAACCCUUUUGAAUCGUUUGGUUCAUAAAAACCGAUCGGGUCAGUCGAUUCACCUGAUUGAUCAUCAAUUUCAACGGUUCGAGACCGGUUUAAAGGCUGACUAGUUCAAAUGGGUGAACCGGACUAGAAGGUGAUGAGUCAGCGGUCAAACCGAUCGAACUGACCGAUCCAAUUCGAUUUUUAAAAUAUUGAAAAAUGCAUAUAAAAGUAAUUGUAUUGAUGCCAUACAUCUCUAUAGGUCUAGUUUAAUAUAUAAUAUACAUGCACUGACAUAAAUCCAUCGUAGAAUUCAAUUCCAAUUAUCAAGGUAAGUCAUUUCACUAUGUGAAAGAUGCUCAUCAUGAAUACCUUACCAAAUCAUAAACAUCACAUGGUUAAAAUCUUUUAUAUACCCAAAUCAUAUUCAAUGUAUGAUCAUACCGAAUGAAAACAAGUUAAAGCAUCCAUAAAGAUACAUGCAAAUUAAAUUAUAAUGAUAGAAAAAGUCUUCCUUUCUUGGAGUAAUUCCAUCAUAUUAUAAAUACUUCAAUAGAUUCAACAACUUGACUAAGCGAAUGGUCCAACCCUGGAGAUUCACACAAUAAGUCUUAGUAAAAUAAAAAUAAAAUAAUGUUUACAAGAAACAUUACAUGUGCCACCACUGAACCUCAAAAUGCUUAAAAAAUUGAUUUACCUUGACUGUACCCCUCCACCUGAUUUCUGAUUUUGGUUAACUCAUGAAAAUUCACAUGCAAAAGAUCCAAAUAUACUUUUUAACUCAUUGUGAAAUGAUACUGCUACUCCUUACAGAAAUGGAUCUGCAUCUUGGAUUCUUGCAUCAUUACAUCUCAUGGCAUUUGUCUCUUUUAACACAGCUCUCACUAGAAUAAGAGUAUGACUGAAAUAAAAAUGAUAAAGAUCAUACUGUAUACUGAAAGUGAGUUUGAAGAUGCUUGAGAAUACCAAAGAGGGGGGUCAGAAGAUAGCCAUAAUGUUUUAUAUAUAUAUAUAUAUUAUGAGUCUUUUCAAUUUUAUUGAAAAAGCUAAAGGCCAAAAGAUACUUGGGAGAUUGUUGGGUUCAAAGACAAAAUAUGCUUUGGAGAGGAACAUCUUCUUUCUUUUCACCCUAGGAAAGACAACAAUAUGGGUCAGCCUCUCUGCAAAGCAAUAGAAAAUUCAUUGAUUCUUGUGUACUUAAAAGGAGUUGGAAAGAGCAAUUUGAUAUAUGCUUUUCUUGUGUGCAUGUGCAUCAAGUCUAAACUAUGCUUUUCACAUAUUUUACAUGCAUAGACCUAGCUUCAUUACUGUAUAUAGAUUGAGUUACAGCAACUAUGCUUUGUCUCUUCAAUAAUUCAGGCCAUAUCUUCUAUGAAGAAAAUACAGCUUAAUUUCUUUACUUUUUGUUUAAAUCUUUUUGUCUCCUAUUCAUUUCUCAAUUAUGCUGUCUAGGCAUGUGAAGUAGUGGGUUGAGUCUUUUGAUGACCCCAGUAGGCUAAUAAGCAUUUGGCAGCUCACUCCAUUGCAUUUGGCUGGUUCAUAUCUUGUUGUCUGUUUGUAUGGAAAAGGAUAAUACAACUGGAGGUGGGACUUCAACUUUUGGGAAGACUUCUGUGAAAAAAAUGCAUGAUUGCUAGACUUCGAAUUUCAUUUGUUUUGGGCAGGAGGGUUCAAUGAAAUUAGCAAUGCAGAAGACCAUGUCAUUUGUUGAAUAUCAUUGUGUUUCUGCAAUUGUAACAACUGGUGGCUUUAAUCUCCAAGCUUAAUUGUCUGUUAUAUAUGAUAGUAACUAUUGGUAAAGGUCUGAAAAAUUAUAGCUUAUGGAUGCUUUCUGUUAUCUGAGAAUGUUUUAUCAUUGAAAACAGAAGAUAAAAGAAAUGUAAUUCAAGAACCGGUUUCUUUAUUCAUUGCUACUAACGAAAUAUCAAAGCAUGUUGAUGAAUUCUUGAUAAUAAUUUACAACACUAUCAAAUGGAAAGAUAAACAAUGAGCAAGCUUUGGAAUGGAUGUAGGUCUUGAAAAUGGUUGAAGAGAACUCAGCAGCUAUUCUGUUAGCAUCACUGUGGCUACCACAGGAGCGCAUGCCCCAUCCAAUGGUCGAUGAGACUCUUUUAUUACAUCUCUAUUAUCAACCGAAGUCGAAGUCUUGAGUAGUUGGAAGAUGUUCAGUAUAACCUCUUCAAUCAGCCUCAACAUUAUCAUGCUGGAUACCAAUCAAGUUGGAGACUGACACCUACAGAAGAAAACUUACAUGAGAUUGUGUCCUCACCAUUGUAGGAAGAUCAUCUAUGAACAAUGUAAAAAUAUCAUCCAAAUCUAAUUUCAUCCGAAUGUUUUGGCUAUACAUAUAUGUCAAUGCCAAAAUUCUUGGUUGAAUGAUUUUUUUUUUUUGCUUCAGCUGGAGCUUUUAGGAUAGUGUAAGGUUUUGGGUGAUCUGUAAAAACAGCAAGCUAGAAACUUGAUGGAAGCUUAUUGCUACUUUACUAAAUUCAAGUAGAGGCUACAAGAAAUGUGAAGAUACCUAGUACUCUUGCCUUUUCACAUUCCAUCUUGUUUUCCGAAUCAGUAAGCUGCUUAGAAGGCCUACUUCUCGUCCACCUGCCUUUUCUGUUUCUUCAGUAACUGGAGUUUGGAGAACUUUAAAGCAUUUUGGUAAUUCAACUAUUCAAUCUUUUGCUCCCAUUUAUCAUUUCCUUGUAUAGAUGUUACAAUUUUAAUCUACCAAUAAUCCCCGCACGAGCAUACUCCAUCAACAAAGUGGUGAAACCUAUAAUUAUCUCUCAUUAUGAUGUCUCUCUUUUCCACCUUGGAUAUAAACUUUGUUGCAGAGUGGCAGUCUCCACACACCCUCAAGUUUUUUAUUAUUCUCAAAGGGGUUCCAGCAGUUGUGCUAAUCAAGCCAAAAGCUAGAGCAAUCUUCUCGCUAUGCCCACACAGGCUGAACUCCUUUUCAUCUUCAUCAACAUCCUGCAGCACAAAGUUCGUGUCAGGGACAUACCCGAUUUCUUUUAUAUCAAAAUACAAGCUUUCCAUCUUUGCUGAUAUUUGCUCCAUCAAUGGAUGUGAAGUAUCCCCAACAACGAAGCUAUGCAAUUUUCUCUUCACUUCAAUCCAACUGCAACCUGGAGGUUUUGUCACUCCUCGCUCCUUCAUCAAACAGCGUAUUUUAGCUGCAUCCUCCCAUCUUCCUGCUGCAGAGUAAAUAUUGGCCAUGAGUACAUAGUUCCCAGAACUUUGGGGCUCUAGUUCAAACAGAUACCGAGCAGCAUAUUCUGCAAGAUCGGGGUUGCAAUGGAUCCUACAAGCACCCAAUAAAGACCCCCAGACUGCUGCAUUGGGCUCAAAAGGCAUCUUCUCAAUGAACUCCAAUGUUUCAUUGAAUUGACCUGCUCUUGACAGUAGAUCAACCAUACAAGCAUAUUGCUCCACAGCAGGGUCCAUAGCGUACUCGGUUUUCAUCAUUUUAAAAUACUUCCAUCCUUCCUCUAUUAAUCCUGAGUGACUACAAGCUGAUAAAAGAUUUGUGAAGGUAAUAUGAUUUGGCUUUAGUCCCAUAGUUCUGAACUGCUGGAAAAGAUUUACAGCAUCCAUCCCAAAGCCAUGCAUUCCAUAGACUGAGAUCAUCACAUUCCAAGAGACAAGAUCUCUCUGCGGCAUUAAAUCAAAUAUUCUUCGACUUUUUUGGAUGGAUCCACAGCGUCCAUACAUGUCAAUAAGGGAGUUCAAUAUAAAAUUACAUGUAUCAAGCCCACACCUGAUAAUAAACUGGUGGAUCUCUUUGCCUUGGCGCAAGGCAGCUAACUUUGAACAAGCUGGGAGGGCUGAAACCAUUGUCACUGUGUUCACUUCCACAUUACUUAAAUUCAUCUCUCUUAACAAGUCUAAAGCAUUAACACUUCUCCCACUUUGUGCACAGGCAGAAAUAAUUGAAUUCCAUACAACUACAUCUCUUGUAGAAAGUUCACUGAACACAGAACAGGCAACUUCCAGAGAAUCACAUCCUGAGUACAUUGAUAUAAGAGCACUCCCAACACCUGUUGACAGUUCAAUAUGAUUCCGAAGAACAUAACCAUGAAUCUCCUUCCCUAGCUUCAAAUUUCUUACUUGGCCACAAGCAGCUAGAGCUCCUGAUAUAGUUGUUGUGUUGGGAUCCAUACCCAUACUGUGCAUCCUCUGAAAGAAUUCAAGAGCUGCCUUCCCAUCCCCAUACUGUGUAAACCCAGUAACUAAUCCAUUCCAUGUAAUAAUGUCGGGUUCAAUGCCUUGGAACUUCAUCUCACUAAGAAGUUCAAUGGCUUCUUCAUGACUACCUCUAAGGGCAUAACCAGCCAGCAUCGCGUUCCAUGAGACCAAAUCCGUUUGUUUGAUCAUACCAAAUUUUCUACGUGCAACCUCCACGGAUCGGCAUUUAGCAUAGUAGUCGACCAAUGAGUUACCUACCAAUAAAUCUGAAUCCAACUCUUCCACCUUUAUACAAUAGCCAUGGAUCUCUCUGCCAUGUCUAAGCAAAGACAAGUUGGUGCAUGCUGAGACAGCACUUGCAAUGGUAAUCGAGUUUGGUUUUACUCCUUCAAGAACCAUUUUCCUGAAAACACUCAGUGCUUCAAAAUCAUAACCAUUCUGCUCACUUCCUGCUAUUAAUGCAGUCCAGGAAACCACAUUAGGUUUGAAAUCUUUCAAACCACCCAUCUCAAGAAAAUAUUUGGAAGCCUCCUCAAAUUGCCCACUCUGAGCAUAACCAGAAAUGAUUGCAUUCCAUGUUACUUGGUCAGGCUUCACACCUGAAAGCUUCAUGUCACUGAUACACUUCAAAGCUUUCUUGAACUCACCUUUUGAUGUAUAGCCUGAAACCAUUAUGUUCCACAUAAAAACAUCCUUAAAUUCAAUCUCUUCAAAGAACCGCCUUGCAAUAUCCAUUCUCCCACAUUUUAUAAACAUAUCAAGGAUAGACCCUUUAACACAGGAGUUCCCCUCAAAUCCUAUACUCAACAUGUAAUCAUAAACAUCUUUCCCAACCCGAUAAUUCUUCAACUCCGAGCAUGCUUUGAAAACCUUAGGAAAGACAAAAUGAUCAGGCCGAACUCCUUCAUUGACCAUCAAAUAAAACAACUUAAUUGUCUCCUCAUAAUCCCCCAAUCCACAGUACAUUUCCAUUAUAGCUGUCCAACUAAAAACAUUUCGCUCAGACAUUUUAUCAAACAUCCUGCGUGCAUCCUCCACACAUCCAGUCUGACAGUAAACCUCCAAGAGCCGACUACCAAGAAAUUCACACACGUCAACACCAUUAACAACCAACUGAGCAUGAACUUGAAAACCCAGUCGCAAAUUAUAGAGUUUUCGACAUUUCUGAAGAAUUGAAGCAUAGAUUUCAAUACACUCAUCCGGAUUGGUUAAAUCCAUUGAACUCAAGAGCAUAGCAGCAUUGUUUAACACCCCAUUUCUAUGAACUGAACCACCUCCACUGAACCCAGUAAUCCUCUGACGGGCAUUGGUCAGUUUUCGUAAAUUUUGAGACUUUGUAUUGGUUGAAGCUACUAUGCAACAGUUUCUGGUUGGAAGAGUCUGUAAUGGAGAGGUUCCUUUGGGUUGUAUUGCAAAAUUGGAAUUGAGGGCAAAUGGGCUUGUGAUAAUCUCCAUUGUCAGCUCUGGCAUGAUGAAGAAUUCAUGGCAGAUUUUAUUGAUUUACAUCAAAUGGUUGAGAUUAUUGAAUGAUUGUUGGAAAUGGUUGGAAAUGAAAUUAUUGGAAUGCUUAUAAUAUCAUCCACAAAUAAAACUAAAUGUAUAGAAUUAUUUAUUAAAUAUAAUUUAAAAUGAAAAAAAAAAAAGACAAAAAAUGUCUAUGCUAUUUUUUAAAAUAAACUUAUCUUAAAAUUUAAUUUUUAACAUAUUAAUUCGAAAAAAUAAAUUCUUAAUAAAAUAAAAUAUAAGAAAAUAAAUAAUAUCUUAUUUUUAAAAAUAAUUAGUACUAGUUAAUUUUUAAGAUAAAUUUCAAAAUUAAUAGAAACAUUUUUUUUUAAAUAUUUAAUUUAUAUAACAUGAUAUUUAUACCAAUAAAUAUAGUAAUAUAUACCACUUACAUAUAGCAAUAAUAGCAUACCAAUAAAUAUCAUAUAGAAAUAAUUUAAUAUAUGUAAGUGGUAUAUAAUAUCACACACACACACACACACAUAUAUAUAUAUAUAUAUAUAUAUAUAUAUAUAUAUAUAAGUUUAAUUUAAUUUUAAAAUGUAUCAUAUUUUAAUUUAAGUUCAUAAUAUCAUAUCAUGUAUAAUAAUUUAUUUAUAUAUUUAAAUGAAAAUAUGAUAAAUUUUAAAUUUUUAUAAAUAUAUAUGAUUAUAUACCACUUACAUAAAAUAUAUAAAAAAAAUUAUUAAUUAAUAUAAUAAUUUAUAUUAUUUAUUUUUGUUAACCCAAGGGUUCUCCUAAUCAUGUUUUAAUGAUAACAAAUCAUGGUUAAGUUACUAAUUGGUUUGAAUUAUAAAGAAUUUCAGGUGUUAGUUUAGAAAUUCAUCAAGAACCUAAUGGAUGCAAGAUCGAGACUUUUGAAAGACCUUUAAUCAUAAGAAACAUAUGUAAGAUGAAUGUAUGGGUGCAUUUAGGAUUUAUAUAUCAUUUCAUGCAUCUUUGAAAAACUCGGUUUAUACUUUAAAGGUACAUUUCCAUCAAAAUCUGAGAUCUAUCAAAUGAACCUUAGGCAAAAUGUUUCAAAAUUGGCAUAUAAUUUUACCUAAAGACCUUACCUAAGUACUAGAAGCAAAAAGACCAGAAAAAUAUAGGUUUUCGGGUCAAAAAUGGUGAACCGGUAGAGGCACUAGCAAAACCGGCUCAACCGACUAAGGUAUUGGUCGACCGGUUACCCCUUCCUAGUCGAGAGAUGCAAAAAACGAUAUCUCUCUUCCAAUAGUCUUUCUUUCCCAGUCAAAGGGAUUUGCCUUCCCAGUCAAGCUCCGAUUGAGGGUAACAGUCACCUGCCAAAUAUUAAAUGCUCCAACAGUUAGUGAACCGGUAGACUCCUAACUCGACCAGUCGAGGCUAUUUUUUGGUUUUUUUGGCUUCCGAUGUUAGAAACCUAUAAAUAAAGAGUUCUACUUCAUUUAUGAGCAAGAGAACACCUACAUUUAUUUGUUUACCUACUUGUUAUUACCUUAAAAGCUCUUAUUCUUUUCUUGGUGCAUUAAAUCUCCAUUUGCAUAUUUUUUUAGUGCACCGUUGUGAUUCAUCAUAACCUUGAGUUGUGUUUGAGUCAUUAUUGAGCUAGGUUGAGAGACUUAACUUAUUAUUUGAGUAAUAAAACCUUCAAGUGAGUUGAGACUUGAAGAGAUUGUGUAAGAACUCAUUGAAGUCAGAAUCCAAGCAUAAAAAGUGAUUAAAAGCUUGGUUGAAACUUCAAGUUAGUGAAAUCCGCACUCAGUUAAGAGCUUGAGGAGAAUGGACUUAGGUAAGGAAGUGUGGAACCACUAUAAAAUUUGGGUUUGAUUUCUCUAACCUUAUCUCUUUAUAUUUGCUCCUUUUGUAUUUAAAUGUGUUGUGCUUAAAAAAAUAAUAAUCUUAAUUCACCCCCAUCUUGAGUGUUUUCUCUUUUAAGAUUAGUCUUUAUUUUUUCAGUUUUUUUUUUUCUAAAUGGGCUUUUCUAAUUUAUUUGUUUUAAAUAAAUAUAAUUUAUAAUAUUUUAUUUAUAUUUAAUUUUAAUUAACUAAUUAUAUUUAUAUUAAAUAUAGUGUCAAUUAUUUUAAUAAAAUUUAAAAAAAAUUAUAUCAAAUUAAAAAUAUUAAUUAUUUAAUUUCAUAUAUUAUUAUUUUUUAAAUAAUGAGAUAAGUUUAUUUAAAAUCAAAAUAAUAUAAUAUUUUUAUUUAAAAAAAAUAAAGUUAAAUAUUUCAAAUGAAAUAAUAUAAUUAUAUAUAUAUAUAUAUAUAUAUAUAUAUAUAUAUAUAAAAUUAACGUUAAGGUUAUUGAUUAAGGGUUUGAUUAUUUUUAAAAGAACUCAAAAUCGUAGGGAUCAAUUAUGGCUUUAAACUUAAACUUGGAUGAAUCAUGGUUGACAACCGGGGUUUUUAAUCAUUUAAAAAAUAAUUUUAUGGCAUACCAACUUUGUGGUACGUACGGAUGUUCAACAUUAAUUUGGAAGCAAGUUUAUUUUAUAGAUUUUUUUUGCAAAACUCACUAAUUUUAAACUUUGAGCCUCACGAAGUUUCUUACAAGUUUGAACAACCUCGAAGAUUGGUCCACGUGUCCAAAAUGUAGUACAAUUAAUGGUGAAGCAGAAUUGGGAAGUACAAAGAUUUGUACUACUUCAACUCAAAAACUCAAACUCUUAACGAGUGCGUACUCCAUUUGAAAAUUGUGAUGUGAUAAAUAUGCAGUACGCUCGACCCAAUUGUACUUUGUUAAGUUGCCUUAUAUAACACCCGAUCACCACCUCCAUCUUUUAGGGAGAAGCUGGAAGAAGAAGCUCUGCUGUGCUGUGGAGGUGUCCUACAGGAGUGACCUGAGAAUCACAUGCCCGCAUCACCCAUCUUUGCUCUCAUGUGUUCUCAGGUCGCCCCUGCUGGACUCCCCUCCACCGCUAGAUUGGAUUACUUUUUCAGUUUCAUGGUUUGGAUACGAUCUUGGGACUGAACGACGCCGUUUUAAUCAGAAGCCAUGGUGUUCUAAUGUGGAGAUAGAGUAAAAAAGAGGUAUUGUUAUUUAUUUAUCUGUUUAUUUAUAAUAUUAAAAAUUUUAACCCCUAUAUAAAGCUCAAAAAUAUGCCACUUGUAUGGUCCAAACGUUUCCCUCAAAAAAUAAUAUUAAAAUAAAUAUUUUCAUAUUUGAUUUUAUUGGAAAAGAUAAUAAAUAAAAAAUAAUAUAAUUAAAAUCAGUUAAAAAUUUAUAUAUUUUUAAAUUAUUUAAUUUUUAUAUAAAUAAAUUAAAAUAAGUUAAAUGAUUUUAAAAUCACAUAUAAAAAUAAUUUAUUUUUUUUACUUUUAUUCACUUUUUUUAUUUUUUUUUACUUUUGAAAAAUAUUAAAUUACUUAAAUAAAAAAUCCAAACAAUUGAAUGUUACAAUAGAUCAAUGUUAUCGAGGUACAAACAAAUAGGGCUAAAAUGAAUAAAUACAAACAAAUACAAUUAGGGUACUUGAAAAUGUACACAUUAAUAGUGUAUUUUUAAUAUAUAUCCAAAAAAAAUACAUUUAUGUAUUGAAAUCACAUCCUUUACUUCUUUUCCCUCACCAUUUUUCUUUAAAUUCAACACAAAGAAUGACAAGCUACUAAACUCAAAUCUAAGAAUUAAUAAUUACGGAUAUUCAUUGAUUUUUAUUAUUAUUAUUAAAUAAAUUAAUUCUAAUUAUUUUAUUUUUACAUUUGAUUUAAUUUAUUACAAAAAAUAUAAAAACAUAAUUUUCUUAAUAAGUCUUUUUUAUAUAAUCUAUAUAUUUAUUAAAUAUAAAAAUAUAAAUAUUAAAAACAUAUAUUAUCAUUUAUUUAAUAUCAUUAAAUAUAUUUAAAUUAAAAUGAACCAUAAUUUUAAUAUUAAAUAUAUUUUAAAAUUGGACAGUUAUUAUAAUAUUAUUGUAAAAUAAUAUAUAAUACAACUUAAUAAUAAAUAUAUACUUAUAAAAUAUAUAAUUUUUUUCGACAUAAAAAUAUUAUUAUCAAAUCUUACAAAUUAUAUAUAUAUAUAUAUAUAUAUCAAUUUUUUAUAGAAAAAAAUAACUUUAAAAUGUCUCUUUUUACUUCUUAUAUAAUUUUUUUUAAUAUUUUCAAAAAAUUUAUUAAUUUUUUUAUUAGUAACAUUUUGUGUCAAAAUAUAUAUCUUUGAUAUACCCAUAAAAUCAAAAUAUCGAUAUAAUUAUAGGUAUUUUCAUCAUUACCUAUCACCACCAAACAAUAAUCUCUCAGUUCAGUGUUUGAAAGAUGUAACCUAUUCUGCAAGAAACCCAGAUAGAAUUAUAUACAGAGAAAACAUAACUACGAUGCAGAAAGAGAGAUCCUUCAUAGAUAUGGGUGUAGAAGAGGAUGAGGAGAGAGGAGAGAGGAGAGAGGAGGAAGACAAAGAAUGAACACCCAAAAAUUGAUUCGCAGAAACAAUACACAUCUACCACUAUAAUCCAAGCCAAACAUGGGAAAAUCUCGGGAGAAACUCCCCAAACACGGGUAAUUGAUGAGAGGCCUUUCACCAUCUUAUCAGCCCCCUGGUUCAAAUCAAUGGGUAUAUAUCUCCAUAACCUCCUUUUCCUGAGACACCCAAGAAAGCUUUGUCAUUAAAUUCUGUCUCAUCCACCAUAAGGUUAGGAACGCCUUGUGAUUUCACCUCUUUUCAGGCCUUCCACUAAGGUUCCGAUCAAAAACUCUUUCAUUGUUUGGAAGAUGAAAAUACAACAAUGAAGUAAACCAAUAAAAAUAAUACAUCAGCAACCAAAGGAAACAACAAAAGAAGCAGUGAGAAGUCAGAACUGAGAAGCAGACCUCACCUACUGGUUGUGGGCCCAUGCUGUUCUCCUUUUAAGUUUGGUUCAUCCAAAAUUCCAUUCCCACAUCGAACAAUUAUGAAGCCAGCAAUGUCUUCAUAUCUAUCAGCUCUCCCACCAAAGCUUGUCUCUUCAGAGACAUCCGAUAAAAUUGGAACGAUACAGAGAAGAUUAGCAUGGCCCCUGCGCAAGGAUGACACGCACAAAUCGAGAAAUGGUCCAAAUUUUUUUUUCUUUUUCUCCCCAAAUCAAGAACACUUUCAACAACUAUGAACAAAUUACAUUACAGAGCCUAUCUCUGCUUCAGAACCAGCCAUUUCUCUGAAACAUGAACUGAACUAUGGUCAAUCAAAGCCUUAGCCAGUUGCCAGGAAAAAAUGAAUAGUACAUCUUAGAAAAACAAAGAGGGAAAAGAAGGAUUCAAUCUCCAAUCAUAGCCAACUCGGUCUUGACUCAUGCAAGCCCAGUUCAAUUGAAAGCUUGAGGUCGCAGGUUUAAACCAGUUUAACAACAUUUGAAACCUGACCUAUAAAAACUUUGGGUCUUACACUUGCCUGAGAGGCAAAAAGAAAAUGGACAUCGUGUUGUCCUUUGUGGCAACUAUAAAUCUAAAAAUGAAUCUAAGGGAAGAAAGGGACCACAUUCAAAUAUAAGCAGAAGUAUAUUCAAGUCAUUUCCUUGAAUAAUGUGUUUGGCCAUCCAAACAAAGCUCGUGGAUUGACUGCUACAAGGUUAUGAAUUGUGAACAAUAUGAUAACAGGAUGGUUGAAAGCAAUCUCCCUUUAUGUGAUUCUGUUGUUAGGCAAGAAGUCACCAUCAGCCAAUAAUCUGUCAAGAUUUGAGUGUCUGAAAGAUGGAAUCAUUCUUUCAUCAGCAGCACGAAUAUAAUUAGUAAUCCCGAAAAGAGAAAAUGUAAUGAUAAAGAAGGAUGAGAGAACCUUCAAAGAAAAAGAAAUACAGGAUAGGAAGAGAAGGUAAAAAAACAGAGGACAAAUGCCCAACAUGCAACCCAGAAACAAUACUGCAGAGUAGAAUAACCCAAGUAAAAUCUGGAGAAACUCAAGGAUAGUUAAGUCGUUAAAAAGGGCAACUGAUGAGAUUACCUUGACCACCUUUAUCAGCCUGGUUUUCCAAGCAAAGGAGCAGCCCACAUUGUAACCAAUGGGCAUAUCCCCAUAACCCUCUCCUAUCCCAAGACACCAAAUAAAGCAUAGUUGUUAAAUCUUUCUCCAACAGAAUGUUAUUAUCUCACCUCUUUCAGGCUUCUAUUACGGCUUAGUUCAAAUGCAGACCAAAACUCUUCUUUCCCAAAGCAACAUAAUUCUAACUAUGUAGGCAUAAGAAUUACCAUCUCUCUUUCAAACAAGCAUCAAUUAAAUAAUUCCUUUUUUUCCUUAAAAUAUGGAAAAUUUGCUGUCAAUCACAAAUUGUCCCACAGUGGAAACUACCCAUGAAUUCCUUUGCUAUACUAUAUACAGAGUACAGCAAAUGAACCCAAACCCAUAUUACUUCCGCAGGUCAUCCAUGUUGCAGCUUUCUAAAUUUGUUAAGACUGCCCAAAGAGUAAGAGCUCAACCUCAGAACUUCAGCUAAGGAACUGUAUGAAGUAUGAACAUAGGAGUUACGAUGAAACAUUGUUAAUUUGAAAACCUAAGGCUAGUUAGUGAAAGUUGAACCUACUCAGCAUAUCUCAUGUUUCUAUAACUGGAGAUAAGGUGUUCAAAGUUAUAUUAUUUUUAUUUUUCCUUCUUUUUUUUUGGUCAAGUUUUGUGGUCCAAUCCAUUUCAUGGAAUGAAAAUCUCUUACCAAGAGAUUAUUCAGAAAACAUAAACACAAUACUCUGAAACCAUAAAAUUAAUCCGACGCUAAAUGACAUCAAACUAAUCAAUAGAUAUCCAAAAUGUAAUACCCUAAACACUAAACAAAAACAAUUCCCACUGAAUUCUGCAAACAUUCAUUGUGGAAAUACUUGAACGAGGAAACUAACAUUUCAACCAACACUAACCCAACUAAUACAGGAAUUUUAGUACCCAAAGCCCAAAACUAAAUACCUCUUAAACCCAUACCUCCAAACACCCAUUCAUGUGAAAACUUGAAACAACCCUCCAUUUUACCACCGAAUGUCAAUGCAUGAAACUCGUAUAAAAGAAAGGUCUCUGACUAACAGUUUCCUGUAGAGAAAUCUGUACCAAUAAAACAACAACAAUAGGUCAUAGGUUAACAGUUUACUUUAAAUAAUUGUAUGCCCAAAACGAUGAUCAUAACAUUAAUUACAGGUUGUUUGGUUCUCUGGAAACUGUGACAGAAAUAAAAGUGAUGGAAAUUUGAACCCAAUAAAUUUUUCAUUCCCUCUCAGCUCUCCCAACUUUUCUCAUCAAUUUUUUGGUUGCAUAAAUUUUCCCCAAAUUUUGACAAUAUGUUCUUCCAAUUUUGUUGAGUAAAAAACCAAAUAGAGUUGGAUGUUUUCCUUUGAUUGUCUAUAAGAUGAAAAUAUAAGUAUAACAAACAAAUGAAGAAGUAAAGAAGCAGAACAUAUCCACAAUCAAAUAAAGAAACAAGAAAAGUAACCCUCACUUUCAGGUUGUGGACCCACAUAAAGGCGGUGCAGGUUGAGUGAAACGGCAUCGUUUUGGGCAGCCGGGGGUCUUGACAUCCCCAUUCCCAUCCCACAUCGAAACUUUAAGACCAGAUAUGUUUCCUCAUAUAUUGAAACUCCACUAUUAAAGCUUGUCUCUUAGGAGACAUCCGAUAAAAUUGGAACGAUACAGAGAAGAUUAGCAUGGCCCCUGCGCAAGGAUGACACGCACAAAUCGAGAAAUGGUCCAAAUUUUUUUUUCUUUCCUCCCCACCAAACAAGACCUUUCUCCAGGUAAAAGUAACACAACGUCCUUCUCCUGCAUUCCUGCAAAAGUUAAACCUACUCACAUAAUUCAUGUUUCUAUAACUGGUGAUUGAAUUCUGGAAGGUAGUUUUGUGCUAUAAUCCAUCUCAUGGAAUGAAAAUCUCUUAGUAAAGAGACUAUUCAGAAAACAGAAACACAAAUACUCUGAGACCAUAAAAUUAAUCCUAAGCCAAAUGACACCAAACUAACCUACCGAGACCCAAUAUGUAAUACCAUAAGCCCUAAACCAAAACAAUUCCCAUUGAAUUCUGCAAACAUCCAUUUUGAAAAGAUUUGAACAAGGAAAAUAACAUUUCAACCAUCACUAAACCAACCAAUACUCCAACUUAUUCUGAAAUUUACUACCCAGAGCCCUAGACACAAUGCAUCUUAACCCCAUAUCUGCAAACAUCCAUUCAUGAGAAAACUUGAAUAAGGAAAAAUAUUAAACAACCAUGCAGUUUACCAAUUAUUGUCAGUGUAAGAAACUCAUAAAAGAUAGAACCCUGAUUAACAGUUUCCUUUAGAUAAUUCUGUACCAAUAAAAUGACUGUAACAAUAACAAUAGCUCAUUGCUUAACAGUUUGGUUUAAUAAUUGUAUACCGAAAACAGUGAUCAUAACAAUAAUUACAGGUUGUUUGGUUCUCAGGAAACUGUAAAGGAAACGAAAGUGAAGCACAAGGGGAAAAAAUGUGGCAAAAAUAAAAUAAAAUACAAAUUUGAACCCAAUAAAAUUUUCAUCCACUCUUCUCCCAGAUUUUCUCACCAAUUUGUUGGUUCCAUAAAUUUUCCCCAAAUUUUGGGGAUAUCUUUUCUUCCAAUUUUGCUCAAUAAAAAACCAAAUAGAAUUGAAAUUUUCCUUUCAUUCAUUGUCCAAUAAACAAAUAGAGAAUAUACCCACAAACAAAUAAAGAAACAAGAAAAGCAAUGAGAACUGAGAAGUGAACAGAGAUCCUCACUUUCAGGCUGUGGACCCCCAUGAACUCCCUUAGGCGAUACAGGUCAUGUGAAACGAUAAUGUUUUGGGCAUCCCGUACCCACUGUCCCACAUCGAAACUUUACAAAUAAACUGGUGUCUGGAUAUUGUCCAGCUCACCCAUAUCAGCUCGUCUCUUCGGAAUAAAAUUGGAUCGAUACAGAGAAGAUUAGCACAUCGAGAAAUAGUCCAAAUUUUUUUCUCAUUUUCUCCCAUGUUUUUUUCCAUUCCAGACCAUUCUCUGUCAAACAUAUGAACACGCUAUGGCCUCAGCAACUUGCCCCUGCAAAAUCAAUUAUACUUGCUGGGAAAGAAAGGACCAAAUCCCCAACCAUACCCUACUUGGUGCUGGCUCAAACAACCUCAAAUUCAAUUGAGAACCUUGAGAUGGCAGGUCUAAGCAUAUGUCACAAAUUAGAACAAGGAGCAUACACCAUAAAGGUUAUGAACCCAGAACUAGAUGAUCAAGAGAUAGUUGACACGGAACUCCCUCUCUAUAUGAUUUUUGUGUGUGAACAAGGUAAUCUGUCUUUGAUCAGAAACAUGAAUAGAAUUAUUUAUAGAAAAAAGGAAACUAUAAAGAAGGAUUGAGAAAUCAUAGAAACCCAUAAUCCUUUCUAUCCUAAGACACACUAAAGCAUAAUCAUUUAUUAGCUUCAACACCAACAGUCUCACUGAUUCAUCUUCGACUCUGAAACCUAGACUAAAUCAAAGUUCAACCCAAACCAAUAUCCUAAAUCAAAGUUCAAAAUAUAAGUACAACUAAGAAUUAAAGAAAUAAACGAACAGAACGUAUCCACGACCAAACAAAGAAACAAGAGAAGCAACCCUUACCUUAAGAUUGGGGACCCCAUGAACUCCAUCAGGCGCUGCAGGUCAUGUGAAACGACAACGUUUUGGGCAUCCCAUACCCAACAUCCCCCGUCACUUCUCUCAUCCCACAUCGAAACUUCACCAAUAAAUUAGUGUCUUCAUAUUAUCCAGCUCUCCUACUGAAGCUUGUCUCUUCGGAGACAUCCGAUAAAAUUGGAACGAUACAGAGAAGAUUAGCAUGGCCCCUGCGCAAGGAUGACACGCACAAAUCGAGAAAUGGUCCAAAUUUUUUUUCCUUCCCUCCCCACCAAACAAGCUGACGAAAAACGACGUCGUUCUCGUACCUGUCUUCACCACCGACACCCAUCGCCAUGUCAAACACUGCACUGUAAAAUUUUUGGUCCAGGUAAAACGACGUCGUUACUAUCACUUCAUGGCCAUGGUAGCGGACGCUCUAGCAACUGUUUUUCAAAACAGUUUUGAAAAACAAAUUUUGACUUUUGUGAAUCUCAUGUAUUUUUAACUUAUUAUUAAAUAUGUUUUAAAAAUAAUUUUUAUAUGUGAUGUUAUUUUUAAUUCUUCUCAAAAUAAUCAUUUUUUAAAACAAUCUUUACAAAAUAAAUAAAAUUAACUAAAAAAUAUCAUCUAAAAAUACUCUAUUUUUUAUUUUUAAAAACAAAAAAUAAUUUUUUUGUUAUCAAACUUUUUUUUGUUUUUUAGAGAAUAGAAAAUUAUUCUCCAAAUCAAUUGUCAAGACUUAUAUCUUAUUUAUUUUCUCAUCUAUUCUUAAAUUUGGAUCCCUUAAAUGAUAAUGAAAAUAGAAUAAAAUAAUUAUAUGAAAAAUGAAAUCUUAUUUUUAUAAGCGGAAUUUUAAUUCACGUUAAGUAAAGUUACUUUGAUUCUUUUAGUUUUUUCAAAAAGAAAAAAAACAAAAAUUUAAAAAGUUGUUUCUAAAAAUAAUUUUUUAUUUUUUAUUUUAUAGGUAAAUUAUAAAUUUAAUUUAUAUAAUAUAAAUUUAAUUUAAGUCUUAUUAAAAAUAAAAGAAUUUUUUAAUUACAAAUAAGUUAAAAAUAAAUCAUUUUUUAUAAAAUCAUAAAUUAUAUAUUUUUUAUAAAUAUUAUAAAAUUUUGGAUAUUAACAUCAUCCUAAAAGCAUAGUUGAUUUAUUUUGUUAAAAAUAAAUAAUAAUAAUAACUUAAAAUUAAUAAUUACUAAUACUAUUUUAUUUUAAAUGAAUUUGAAAAAAAAUUUUGAGGUAUAAAUGAUAUAAAUUUCUCAUUUUAUAUAUAUAUAUAUUAGUACUUAAUUAUAAAAAGAAUGUAGUAUUCUAAUUUUUUUUAUUUAAUUUAUAAAUAAUUAAUCAAUUUUUUGAAUUUUAAAUUAUUCUUAAAAAUUAUAAGAUUUAUUAAAGAAUUUAAAACAUUAAUUAUUUAUUAUUUAGUUUAUAAUUUAGUUAGAAAACAUAGUUAUAUGUAUAGGAAAAAUAGUAAAUUAUGACUCAUGAAGUAUUAAUUUUAGUCUAUUAUUUUUUUUGUAAUAUAUAUAUAUGAAUUUUGUAUUAAGCGUUGGUUAAUUUAGAAUCUAUUUAUUUAAUAAAAAAUUUAAAGAAUUUAAAAAGAAAUUUAGAAAAACACAUGAUUUAAAGGAAAAUCAUUUUUUAAGAUUUUUUUUUUUUUUUUGUAUUGUGUGGUAGAGAGAAAAUAAAGAAAUAUUUUUUAUUAUAUUUUAUUUGUUUUUUGUGGUUUUAUUUAUUUUUUUGUUGCUCUAUAUUUUCUUUUUCUUUUUAAAAAGUGAUAAAAACAACUUCUUAUUCUUUAUUCUCUAUUUCACUUUAUUUUAAAAAUUAUUUCUAUAAAAUAACAACCAAACAUUUCUAUAAAUUUUUGUUGAAUAUUUAAAAAAAUAAAAAUAAAGCAUUGUUUUUGAAUUACACAGAAAUAAACUUUUAUUAUUUAGCAAAAAAAUUAUCAAAGAUAUUCUUUAAAUGAAAAUAAAAAAAUUAUUUUAAGCUAUUUGUAUUUUGAGAGAUUUUUUAAAUGAAAACAAAAAAAUAAAUAGCACCUCUCAACCAAAAGAACAAGGUCCUCCUCUACCAAAUCCAAAUCCUCCAUGUAUCCAUGGAACAAAUGAAUAAAAAUUCAAUUACUCAUUGAAUAAUUUCAACAUCUUCAGAGAUGGAAUUGUUUUCCUUUUUUAAUGCCCCUUCCCUUUAUCAUAUUCCAAAAUAACAUUAGAAAUUAAAAGUAGUAUGAGGGAUGAAUCCAAACUGUCGGGGGAGCAGAUCCAUCGAAGAGGGGGAAGAGAGAAUAGAUGAGGAUGGCAGAGGCUGUUGUUAAAGGAUAAGUGAUCUACUUCCAAAAAGCAAUUUUCUUGAAAGGGGUGCGGAGCCAAGUUGAGAGAGUGGCGGGUGAGCCGAAGAGGAUGCAGUAUUUUCUGAAUGAUGCACAGGCAAGGCAAAACGGAGAUGAGAGAGUGGGGAACUGGGUUUCUAAAAUUCAGAAUGCUGCAUAUAUAUAUAAAGGAAGAUAUAAUAGACAUGAUCUUCAUCUUCAAGAAGUACUGGACAGAUAGGUCUCAAUAAGGGUGGGAAGUGAGAAGGAAAUUGAAGGCAUCCAGAUAAGGAUCGAUCCAGGACAUCUCCUAAAAGUAGGGUAAGCUAUGGAAUCAGUAAUACUGGAGAAGGUACCCAACAGCUAGCAGCUAGCGCAAAUCAGAGGCCGCAAAAGCUCAGACAAUCAUCUCCUCUUGUUGGUUUAGCAUUGGCAAUUGUUGUGUUGGGAGGCCUGCUGUCCCGGAAAAGAAGGUAGUGGAUGCCGUGCUCAAAGCUAUAUCAGUUUUGCCUCCUUCCUUGGAGAUCUUGAUUUCUUUUAUUUAUGUCUUUUCCCAGAUGAACAUGUAUCUCUGUAAGAAAACUAUAUUGUAUCUUUUGUGGGUUGCAGAGGGAUUCAUUCCCCAACAAGGACAAAGAAUAUUGGAGACCAUGGCCGAGGGUUAUCUCAACCAGAGUUAAUGGGCAGAGAAACUUGGUUCAAAUGGUUAGAAUCGAGUGUGAAUGAGAUGGUUAGAGAAUGCCGGAUUCAUGAUCUAGUGAGUGUCUUGUUCAUUAACAAGGCAAUGACAACAUGCAUGUCUCCAUAUGAUCAAACAAUUGAUUAUAAGCCUAGCUGUCUCACCAUCUGUUACAAACUAUGGUCCUUUCUGCUCCAUGGCAUUUCCCCCUUUCCCCUUAUGAGCCAUGUGAGUUCCACUAGCACUGUAAACCAUCUGAGACUCGCUACUAGUAAUAUGACCUGCACCAGAAUAGACUACCUAUGGACACCUCCCACUUUUCUAACAAAGACCUUGUUCUGAGCCGGCAUAUAGCUAAGGAUAAAAUAAGGGUUUUAUCAAUUUAUGGUACUUGUUCAUCAUAGCAUGGUUGAGUUUGUUACCAGCACUCCCGUCACUGCAACGAUGUGCCCCAUAUUAUAGUCUACAUAAUGGGAGAGAAUCAAUUUUUUGAGCUUUCAACCAUGAACAAAAAUUACAUUACAGAGCCUAUCUCUGCUUCAGAACAAGCCAUUUCUCUGAAACUAUGGUCAAUCAAGUGCCUUGGCCACUUGCCCAGCAAAAUGAAUUGUACAUCUUUAGAAAAAGGAAGAAAAAAAAAGGAUCAAAUCCCCAAUCAUACCCACCUUGGAAUUGGCUCAUUCAAGCUCAAUUUAAUUGAGAGCCUUGAGAGGUUGCAGGUCUAAAGCAGUUUAACAACAUUGGAAAAACAAACCAAACCUAAAACUUUGGGGCUUACACAUGUCUGAGAGGCAACAAGAAGAUGGACAUGGUGUUGUCCUUUAUAGCAAACAUAGGGUCUCAUUAAAAAUCUAAAAAUGAAUUUGAAAGGGAAGAAAGCGAGCACAAUCAAAUAUAAGCAGAAGUAUCUUCAAGUCAUUUCCUUGAAUAAUGUGUUUUGACCAUCCAAACAAAGCUCAUGGAUUGACUGCUACAAGGUUAUGAACCUUGGAACUAUAUAAUCAUGACUCAUAAGAUGGUUGAAAGCAAACUCCCUCUCUAUGAGAUGUUGUAGUUAAGCAAAAAGUCAUGAAUCAAUACUCUGUCAGAAGUGUGUCUGAAAGAUGUAAUCUUUGUUUUAUCAGCAACAAAAAUAUAAAUUACAAAUAGAGAUAAUGUAAUUAUAAAGAAGGGUAAGAGAACCUUCAAAGAAAUAGAAAUACAAGAUAGGAACAGAAGGUAAAGAAACAGAGAACAAAUGCCCCACAUGCAACCCAGAAACAAUACUGCAGCCUAGAAUAACAGAAGUAAAAUCUGGAGAAACUCAAAGAUGGAAUAGCCCCUAAGAAAAGGCAACUGAUGAGAUUCCAUGGACCACCACAUCAGCCUAGCUUUCUUAGCAAAGGAGCAACCAAUGGGCAUAUCCCCAUAACCCUCUCCCUACCCUAAGACACCCCAUAAACCAUAGUUGUUAAAUCUUUCUCCAACAAAAUGUUAGGGAGACCUUCUAUUAAGACUUACUUCAAAUGCAGACCAAAACUCUUAUAUCCCAAAGCAAGAUAAUUCUAACUAUGUAGGCAUAAGAAUUCAAAAUCAUGUUAAUACCAUUUCUCUUUCAAACAAGCAUCAAUUAAAUAAUUACUUUUUUUUCUUUGAAGUAUGAAGCAUUUGCAGUUAAUCACAAACUGUCCAACCAUUGGAACUGCCCAUGAAUUACUUUCAACCAUGAAAGUUUUUAUGGUACUGUAUACUGAGUAAUGCAAAUGAACCUAAACCCACAUUACUUUCCCAGGUGGAUAUCACAUUCCUAUUUAAAUUACCAUAUUACAUUUUAGAAUGGGAAUAGGAAUCAAAAAUCCAUUAUCAUGGAAACCAAAUUUCACUCUCACUAGGAUUUUGAAUCCUCUCUCCUACAUGAUAUUUUGAUUCACCUCCUUCCUAUCCUAUUUUGAUUCCUAUUCUCGCAUACCAAAUUCACACUAAAGUUAUUCCUACUUGUAGAAAAUAACAGUAUUUUUCCUCUCUUGUAGUUACAUAAAAAGCUAAUCAUCAUGGCUGAAACCAAAAUACUAAAAUGGCAGGCCUCAAAUAUAAUUGCACAAUCAUUUUACACUGUCCACAAUAGAGCCUUCACCAUAGUAGAAAUUUGCAAUCUGAAUUGCAAAAUCUGUAAUUGAUUCUCUCUAGCUAUUUAGAACCCUGAAAUUUCUACUCAACUCUUUCCUUCUUCUCUGCUUCUCGCACUCUAUUUUGUAACACAUCAAUCUGAAGAGGCAAAUUUAAAUGGCAAACACUGGGUGAUAUGCCAUUACUUCCUAAGUAGCAGUUGAAAUAGUAAAAUCGAAGUUACAAAAUGAAGACAAGUAAUGUAAUCAGAACUUCAAUCAAGAAACUGUUUGAACAUAGCCGAUAGCACUUAUGGUGAAACAUUAUUAGUUUAAAAAACCACCGGCUAGUUAGUAAGCAAAAGUUGAACCUACUCACAUAAUUCAUGUUUCUAUAACUAGCGAUUGAGUUCUGGUUAGUAAGCAAAAGUUGAACCUAUUCACAUAAUUCCUGUUUCUAUAACUGGUGAUUGAUUUCUGGAAGGUGGUUUUGUGCUCUAAUCCAUCUCAUGCAAUGAAAAUCUCUUAGUAAAGAGACUAUUCAGAAAACAGAAACACAAUACUCUGAAACCAUAAAAUUAAUCCUAAACCAAAUGACACCAAACUAACCAACCAAUACCCAAUAUGUAAUACCCUAAACCCUAAACCGAAACAAUUCCCAUUGAAUUAAAAAACCACUGGCUAAUUAGUAAGCAAAAGUUGAACCUACUCACAUAAUUCACGUUUCUAUAACUGGCGAUUGAAUUCUGGAAGGUGGUUUUGUGCUCUAAUCCAUCUCAUGCAAUGAAAUCUCUUAGUAAAGAGACUAUUCAGAAAGUAAAAACACAAAUACUCUGAAACCAUAAAAUUAAUCCUAAACCAAAUGACACCAAACGAACCAACCGAUACCCAAUAUGUAAUACCCUAUACCCUAAACCCUAAACCAAAACGAUUCCCAUUGAAUCCUGCAAACAUCCAUUUUGAAAAGAUUUGAACAAGGAAAAUAACAUUUCAACCAUCACUAAACCAACCAAUACCCCAACUAAUUCUGAAAUUUUAGUACCCAAAACCCUAGACACAAUAACCCCAUCUCUGCAAACAUCCAUUCAUGAAAAAACUUGAAUAAGGAAAAAUAUUAAACAACCAUGCAUUUUAACAAUUGAUGUCAGUGUAUGAAAAUCAUAUAAAAGAAAGGACCCUGAUUAACAGUUUCCUUUAAAUAAUAUUAUACUUUUGUGGCAGAGUCAUUUAGGAUCCUAUAUUGUUGAAAAUUAUUCCAAAAUAAAAAAAUUAAACAGUCAAAGGUUACAUUAAAUAAGCUUGUUAUAUUGUUGAAAAUAAUUGCAAACAUUAUGGACCAUAAAUUUAGGGUUGCAAAACAAGACAAAGGAAAAUGAAAUUGGGUUGGGCAUGCCAUUGAAAGAAUUGAAGGCAUAUAUAAGUUGCCUAAAGUCGGCUUUUCCACUGUCUUCAGUCUCCACCCUGGGAGAUGAUCAAUUUUUUGUGUUCCAAAUCCAGAGAAAAGUUACAUUCCAGACACUACUCUCUGGUUUCAGAACCAGCCAUUAAACAAACAUGAACUCAACCGUGGAUAUUUGAGAAGAAAAAGAGCCACAUAGGUUACUUCACACCAUCAAUCCUCCUAAGAAGAAGCUUGGUUACAAACCCCAUAUACAAAUUAUGCUAAUGUGCCUUUGAUGAACCACAUCUCAGGCCUCUUUAUAAAUCUAUAUAAUAAAGCUCACAGUAAGGGCACACAAGAAUUUAAAUCUAAACAGGCUCAUCUUCAAUUCAUUUGCUCAAGCAAUGGAAUUAUAUCAUUGUUCCAAACCCCCUGAAGACAACGACUGACAAGUAUGACCAUUCUGACUGUUCAAACGAGCUCAUGCAACCACAUCAAAAUCAAUAGGAACAAGGUUAUGAAGCACAAACUAGAUGAUCAUAUGUCUCUAUGUGAUGUUCUAGCUAAGCAAGGUAAAGACAUCCAAACAAAGGAGCGACCCGCAUUCUAUUAAGAUAAAAACUCCCACUUCCCAAAGUAAGAUAAUUCUAAGUAUCAAGUCAUAAGAAUUCAAAAUCAUGUUCACACCAUUUCUCUUUCAAACAAGCAUCAAGCAAAUAAUUCUUUUUUUCCCCCUUGAGGUAUGAAGCAUUUGCAAUUAAUCACAAAUUGCCUCACAAAGGAAACUACUCAUGAAUUCCUUCCAACCAUGUAAGUUCAUACAAUAUGGUAUAUGGAAUAUGAUGACUGAAGGUCCUAAGCUCUAACCAAAGAAUUAUUGUUGCGUGCAUUACUAAGCAUAUGAGAGAUUCAUCUCAACCUUCAAAUUUAUAAAUAUAGGAAUUUUAGCAUUUUUGUUUCUUUUCAGUUGGUUACCGCCAGAAAAUAAAAUUUUGAUCCAGCUGCCAAGCUAAUGAUAAAGGUCUAAGCAAAACCGAAGUUUCUAAGGUUGUGUGCACACCUUUGAGCAACAGAAGUGACACACCAUGUUCUUAUAUUUUGUUUCGGACACCCAUUUUCUAGUGUACUACAUGUCAUUACUUGCUAAAGAGCUAAUUUAAUAUGUUUCACUAAGUCUCUUCCAUCAACUGAAAAUAAAUAAAAAUGACAUGAACUUGCAAAACCUAUUUAAGAGUAAGAGCUCAGCCUAAAAGCUUUAGCUGAGAAAAAGUGUCGAAGUAGCAUUUCUAGUGAAACAUUAUUAUUGAACACCAAUAACUACUUUAAGUUUCUUGCUCUAACUAAUUCCUACCAAUGAUGCAAGUCAUUUAUGAAGAGAUUGAUAGACAGCUGAAACACAAAUCACUCCCAAACUAUGAAAUUAAACCUGAUAAAAUGAAACAAUAUCCCAACUAACAACAAAAAUGUAGACAAUAUUAAAAAAUAAACCACCUUACCAUCUGAUGUUUUGACUAAUAUGAUUUCACCACAUGCAAUAUCUCCAUAAUAUCAAACAAUUGAUUAUAAGCCUAGCUGCAACAAAUAUUUUUAAUUGAUGAUAGAAAAAAUGGUAAGGAUUUGAAGUAAGCCUAGCUGCAACAAAUAUUUUUAAUUGAUGAUAGAAAAAAAAGUAAGGAUUUGAAGCAGGAAGCAACAUCCAAAAAUACAUUCAAGGACCUUAACAAAUGAUUCAUUAAACCAUACAUAGAAUCAAACCCACCAGUGGAGAACCGAACAUCAACCAUACACCUUGAACCCACCAGUAGAGUCAACAAGCCCAUAACCUCAUCAUGCACACAAAACUUGUUAUCCUAUGAUCAACUUCAGAAGAGUCCAGCUUGGUAUCCUUUUACCAAGAAGAAUUUUGGUCCCUACUAAGUCAUAACUCUAACCUGCAUUUCCUGCCCUUGGAAGGUAUUGGCCAAUCAUGGCAAGCAAUAAAACCUGUCAAUCCUAAUCAUCUAGUAGAAUACCAUCAAACCCUCUUACCGCUCUGAAAAUAUUACUAUCUACAAAUUACUUAAAAUCAUGGCAGGGAAAAGAUGAAAUCAAAACCCAACUUGUCAAAAGUAUAUGCACCUAGAAAAAUACAAACCAGCAACACAUUUCAUAGAAUUUAUAGAUUUAACAAAAAAUAUGCAGCCCUGCUCAAUGAAAAGCCAAAUAUCCCUGAACCCAAAAACUCAGAAUCCACUACACAAACCCGUUUUUCCCUUUCACCUAAAUCUAAGGCUAUUCACCUCCAUUAGACCAUACCCCUUAACUCAUGCUAUCUUUUGGCAUUACUCGCCCCUGUCUGUAGCCCCUCUCAUUGCUAUAAAGUUUCCUUUUUUAUGGUUUUGCUUCGUAAAACACACACUACUCCAAGUCCCCAAGCAUGAAGCACAUAGUAAAAAGAAAUUGAACCAACAAGCAAUAAACCCAAAACAUUCUACAUAACAUUCUACAUUUCACUAUACUAUCAGGCGCUUCGAUAUACAAGUAAUCGAAUCCAUAAAUCCAUCCCCGUCCACAAAUAUAACGGCUUUAAUUGACAAUUCAGCAUACAAAUUCCAAUUGUGGACAAAUCCAAAGCUCCAUGAAAUUCAGAAUCCUCACAGGCUACUUAUCUUUGUUAAGCGAGACGCCGUACUUCUCCUGCAUCUUGGCGAGCUCGUCCUCCUUCUUCUUCUGAUCGAACUUCUUGCUCAUCUUGGCCUGCUGAUAGUAGAGAACGAUGAGGUACCGAUUGGCGACGUUGAAGCCAGAGAGAUGAUCGACGGCGGUCUUGGCGUCGUAGAUAUCCUCGUAGACAACGAACGCGGUGCCGCGAGUGUCCUUGUUGGUGCCGAUUCGGAUCUGGCGGAUGGCACCGUACUUGCCGAAGAUGUCGUACAUCUCCUCACUUGAGAUGUUGAAUGGCAGGUUGCGGACGUAGAGGACUCGGUUCACCUCCGGCGGCAGCCGCGUGUUGCCUUUUCGAAGAGAGAUGGUCGCCAUGGCGGCGGUUCCUGGCGGUAGCAGUAGUUAUGGCGAUGGCAGUGGUUUCCGGUUUGGGUUUUGCGGCUUUUGCCCUAGAUUUUGCGAGGAGGAGAAAUUCUUCCCUUCAGAAAGAAUUUUUCUAACCAAACACUCUAAUUCGAAGACGUCUUGCUUUUCUAAUUAUUUUUAAAAUUUUCAUGGUAAAUAUACUAUCAUUUUUUUUACUUUCUAAUUAAUAAAUUUCUAAAUAAGUAUGAUGUAGGGUCCACUUCCAUAUAAAAAUAUUCAAUUUUUAAAAAAUUUUAUGCUCUUUUAAGGUUUUUCCUUUUUUUUUUUUUUUUUCUCUUAACAAUUUUUUUCCAAGUUAUUUUUUAUAUUAAUUGUUUCAUAUGUAUCUUCACUCUCUCCAUUUUUUUUUAUAAUUACUUUAAAAAAAAUUAAAGCUCAAAGUCUAUUGAUAACUUUUUUCAAAAAAAUUUUGAAAGUCAAUUUUUGAUAAUAGUUUUUAAAAAUUAUUCUCCUAAAAAUAGGAAGUGUUUUUAAUCAAUCUAUUAUUUAAAAAACAAACCUUUUUUUAUACAAAUUUUUAAACACUAAAAAAAUUUUAAAAUAUUUUUUAAAAUCAUUAUCAAACAUACUCUUAUAAAAAAAUUCACAAAAUUUAAAAAUUAUUUAAUAUUUUUAAUAUAUAAAAACAACUCUUUUGAUAUUUUCAAGUAUCAGAAAAGAUCAAAAACGCUUUCUAAAAUCCUGUUGAACGAAAUUUUAGAAAAUAUUUUUAAAAAAUUAAUAAAUGAUUUAUAGUGUUUCUUUAGGAAAUUAUUUGACAAGUAAUUUUUUUCAAAAAUGUUUUUAGAGAAAACUUCAAAUAAAAACUCUCCCAAAUGCGUAAACACGGCCUAAGAGCAUGUUGGGAGUGAUCCUACUGAAAAUAUUUUAUCAAUUGUAAUUCUAUUAUAAACACUGCUAAAGAUAAUCCUUGGUGUUUAAAUACAUGUUUUAGAAAAAAUUAGUAGUGUUUUUUAUAAUGUACUACAUAAUUAAAAAAAAUCAAUUCUUAGAAGUAUUUUUUAACCUGCGGGCAAAAUCAAUUUUAAAAGGGUUCUAAAAUUGUAUUUGGUUAUAUUUCCAUUUUCAUAAAAUUGGUUUUAAAAAAAAUUUAAGAGUAUGUUUGACAAUUAUUAUAGGAAGGGACUCGAAAUAUAAAAAUUUUCAAGUGUUAUAAAGGUCAAAAACACAUAUUAAAAUCAUUAUCAAAUGUACACUCGUUUGAUAGUGAUUUUAGAAAGUUUUUUUAAUAUUUUUAAUGCUUAAAAGAUAAAAAAUUAUAAGUGUUAAAAAUAUUAUAAACACUUCCUAAAAUCGCUACCAAAUGUGAGUACAUUCAACAAUGAUUUUAGAAAGUGUUUUUAAUUUUUUUAACACUUAAAAAUAAAUUUGCCUCAUUUAAGUGACUAUAGUUUAUUAACAAUUGUCUCCCAGUAUAACGAGUGGAGAGAAUUGAUGAAUUAAUGAAAAUGUCACGAAGGUUCCUAUUUAUAGAUUUGAUGAUGGUCUUUAAAAGAGAUGUGUCUUUAAAAUACUAGACACAUCCUUUGAAGGAUUGUAUCUUAAGACACCAAAUAUAACAUUUGGAAGUAUAUGGACAAUAAGUGUGUAUAAUAAAUAUACAAAUAAAAUAAAGUAGAAAUUGUAACUCACAAAUAAGGUUAAUCGAGACUAAAGUUUGACUUUAUAUUCUUAAGAUGAAUUUGCCUCAUUUAAGUGAUUAUAGUUUAUUAACAAUUGUUUCUCAGGAUACAACGAUCAUUUUCCUGUGAUAAUAACAUUUCAAAUCACAAGAAACAACUAAUCACUUAGUAAUUUGUACUCUCUUGUAAACAAAAUAUUUGGUAAAAAAGGAAAAAUGACUUGGCCUGAAAGACAAAAAAUGAGAAAGAGUGGAGAGAAUUGAUGAAUUAAUGAAAAUAUCACAAGGGUUCUAUUUAUAGAUUUGAUGAUGGUCUUUAAAAGAGACGUGUCUUUAAAAUACUAGACACAUCCUUUAAAAGAUUGUAUCUUAAGACACCAAAUACAACAUUUGGAAGAUGUUGUGUAUUUUAGAAUCAGGACACAUACUUUAAAACAAGUUAUGUCUAUUAAGAAAAGAUGUGUCCUAAUUUUCAUUCACUUAUAUAAAAUUUCCAAGAAUCUCUUCACAUGUCUUCCGGCUCAUUCAUCUUAAACAAAACAACCCAAUCUAACCGGUUACAACUUACCAAGCACAGCUCUCAACCUGAAAAUCCCUUGGCUCGAGUAUUCUAAUGUUUUCUUGUCAAGUAAAAAUACUAGUAUUCUGAACAAGAAGAAAUAGUGCCAUGGGACUACAAAAGAAACUAACAAAAGGGCAAAAAGGAGGGUACACCCAGUAGUAGUAUCUCACACCAGCCAGGAUAACUGCCUUUCACCAUUGGUAAUUUGCAAGACAUUGAUUAACUCGAAGAACAAGAGAGUCAAAAUUAUUUUUUUCCCGACCAAAAAUGACAUCACGACGUUGCUCCUCUGUAAUUUAUUUGGGUCUAAGGGCGAUGUUGAUUGUAAAUUUGUACAUCCUCCAUCAGCUCCCAUCGUCAUGUCAAACACUGUAUUCUAUAAUUGGUUUUUUCCACGUAAAACGACGUCGUUCCUCAGUAAUUUAUCUGGGUCUAAGGGUGAUGUUGAUUGUAAAUUUGUACUUUUUUCGGGAUUUUAAAUUUAACCCUUCCAUCCCUUCUCCUAUAUGUUGAAAAUUCCUAGAUGUUACCAUGAAGGGUGGUCAUAUUCUUACUUCAAGAGGAUUUAAUCUUUUGCCUUUCAAUGAUAACAAUGGAUUCAAGGAAGCAUACACAUUCUCUAUUUGUAUGAAAAUUUGAAAUUGAAUUAUGAUGUAAAUUUUUUCUUCAAAAGCAGUUUAUCUUACUAUUUUAUUUGUUGUAAAAUCCUAUUAAUGUGUCAAGAAUUUGUAUUUCUAAAUAUUUUCAAAAGAAUUUUAGGAAAUUAUGUACUAAAUGGUUCUCAAAACCUGCUUUAAAAAAUGAUUUUAAAAAUAAUUUUUAUAUAUAGUAUUUUAUUUUUCAUUAAUCCUAAAAAAAUAAAUAAAAAUAAUUAAAAAAAUAUUUUCAAAAAACAAAAAAUAAUUUAUAGUUGUCAAACAUAUAUUUUUUUUGUUAUUGAUAAUAUAAAACUGUUUUCGAAAGCAAUUGGUAAACAAGUUUUAGGUCAUUAAUUUUUAGAAUAAUUUUGUAUUUUUGAUAAUAAACUAACAUAAAAGCAAGUUAAGUUAUUAAUUAUUUUAAAAUUGGUUUUUGAGAAUUAUUUUGAAAAUAAAAUAAUUUUUUUUGAUAUAUUUCUAAUUAUUUUGAGAUUAUUUUAAAAAAUAAUUAUAUAAAUAUGAUAAAUGAUUAAAAAUAAAACACUAUAUUAUGAUUUUUAAAAAUGUAAAGAAUGAAUUAAAAAAUUUCGAAUUCUAUAUAGAUUUUUAUUAUGAAAAUAUAAAAAAUUAUGUUUUAAGAAAUAUUUUCGAUAACUUUCCCAAACAAAAAAGUAAUUUUAUUUUUUCAAAAACAGAAAAUUGGUGAAAUUUUGCAAUUGAACCAUAAAAAAUAAGUUAUAAAAUUACCGUUAAGAUUUGUAUGGGUUUGAGUGGUAAAAAUCUGGUGGAGGUUUCGUCAGGGACCGCAGAAAGGCGGUCCAUAGAAAGCGCGAGUACGAUAAAAUCAGGGGGCGAGUAGAAACAACAGGCACGCACCUGUAACAGUAACAGAUCAAGAUGGCGGGGGGGUCCACUGUUGCUCUCUCUCCCCGGUUAUAAUAUUUAUACCUUACUUUCAAUUUGGGUGAGUUUCUAUAUUUGUUUUGGAACCAAACCUCACCUACUUUCUCAGGAGCAUUUUCAUUUCUCAUACAUUUUCUCUCUCCCCAAUGUAAGCAACAACCACACCCACCCACCCGCCCUCAUGAAAGUUUUACCCAAGUACUUCCCUUUUUCGAUGACCCAUUUCGGGUUUUUUCUGGGUAUGAUUUUUUUUUUUUUUUUUUUUCUAAUGGCUUGAUUUUCGUCAGGAAUUUGGAGGGAGAUCUGAUGUGCCCUGCCGUUGAUUACAGCUGCAUUCAAGAUCAUGAUGCCGCUUGAGCAUAAAGGUUUGACCUUGCAAUCACUUGAAUCCUUUGAUCUCUGCUUUUGGGAUAAUUCAGGUGAUUUUUUUUGUGUGUUCCUUUUGUUGGUUUUGAUGUUGGGACCUGAAAUGGGUUGUUGGUUUUGAUUGUUUGUAAAUUUCUGGUGUUUUUGGUGUGUUUGGAGGUGGGUUUAUCGAUUUUAAUGUGUCAAUUGGUUUGUUUUUGAUGUGUGUGGUAUUAUACUGUGAGAACUGUUUGAUUCGACUUCAGGUUAGCCAAAUGGAGGGAUUUUGAAAAUGCUGGGAUGGGACUUUGUGGGUUUUAUUAUGUGCAUUUCACGUGAAAUGCAGCAACUUCCAGAAAGUCGAGUGAUGGUUAAAACUUAAAACACCAAUGCCAGUGGAAAAGAUAAAAAGUGUUAACUUGCUCUGUUGAUUAUCGUAUCCAAUUCUUUAGGUUAAUGAACCAUUAUAUGUUUCCAGUUGGUUCAAAUUUUAAAUGGAAGUAUAACAAGUGGUCUUCCUCAUUAAAAAUUUCCCAACCUGAAUUUUGUGCUCAGAAAAGAGGAAAAAAAAAACCAUGGUUGAUGGGAUUGCAAUAAGAGUUUGGUUGGCUGAUGGGCUUGCAGUAAGAGUUUAGUUGGUUGAUGGGACUGCAAGAGUUCUCUAGUUGAUUUUUCUUGGUGACACGGCGUUCUUAGAAAUGAAGCUAGAAGGGAAAUGAAUGAAAAAUUGGAAUUCUGGGUUGCUCUUGAAGCUAACAGUUUCAAAAACAAAAUACCAAGGUGAUUAUUUGGGAUUAAGUUUUGGUAAGGGCAUGGCUUGAGUGAGAAUGGUGGUUAAGAUUGGUGAUUUGGAGAUAACCUAAUAACCAGUUGUUGUGGUCUGACUUCACUGUCAUUUCCACUGGACCGAUAAGCUCACAGAUUGCAUAAUGCACUGGAUAAAGGAAUGGUUCUGCAUGCUUCUUGAAAUGCUUAGCCAAGUCACAUGUUAAUUGUAGAUAAGAACUUUUGAACUAAUCUACUGACUAAUCUCAUAAAAUUUGAGAGCAUUUUCCACUGCAUCCACAUGACUUGAGCCGGUUGCUCAGCCCUUUUAAGCUCCACUCUCAGAGUGACCAUUCUUUCGACAAAGAGUGUUUUUCAUUGUAGAUUCUCCAUAACCCUGGAUUCUAGUGAAGCUAAAUGUUAAGAGGUAGGCAGACAAGAAUGUUUAGUUGCUAUAGUUAGAGAAUACGUUUUCUCUUAUUUUAGUUGUGGAUUGAGUGGAGGUGAAAAGUUUUUGAUGUUGUCUUUGAUGUAAUUUCUUCUAGGAUCCAUGAGGCUUAUUUUUAGGGCCAUCAAGAUUGAUUCAAUUUGCUAGAUUUGUCAGUGAAGUACACCUACAGCCUGCUAACCGACCUGCUGCAAACACUGACUACCUUUUACCCAGAUGACUUCCUUUUAGGAAAGCAAAAAGAUGCUUGGUCCAGCAGCAGUACCAACAUUACCCUUUUCUUUUGCAGGAAACAGAAAUGUUAUUAGAAUAAUAAAAUAGAAGAAUGUACAAGGAAGAUGAGAAUUAUCUCUAGCGUAACAUAGAAAAAUGAAAGCCAAAGAAAUCGGCUCCUAAAUACAAGGCAGAAGCCACUACCUCUAAGACUUGAUCACUCCAAAGCACAAUGCCCAGUGGACCAUGAUCGAUAGACUCAAGGGGAGAGAAAGUUCCUAACAAACACUAUGAAGGAGGAGUCUCCCCCUUGAGAAGUCUCUUUCCUUUGGAGUUUAGGGGCAUCCUAAAAUAAAAACGGAAGUCUACCACAGCCACUGAUUAUGUCUUGAGGGACCUCUCCUACCUUGUGACACCUGGGCUAGAACAAUCACUGAAUCCUUCUCUACUAAAAAAUUAGUAAUAUGUAAUGAAAUUGCCUUUUUUGGAGGUCUUCAACCAGAGCUAAAAUAUCAGCCUUAAAGGUAUAGAAAAUUCUCUAUCAAUCUUGCUCCUGAAAGGGCCUUAAUACCCAUCUGACUUGGAUUACCCAACGAGCACCCAUUACUAUUCGCUAUUGAGCUUGGGGCAUUCAUUAGUUGGAAAACCCAUAUGGCCCUGAUAGCAACAUCUCACAAAUGAGGUAGGUAGUUCAAUCCCCAAUCAGACCAUAUGAUGCCAAUGACAACAACGACGGGCUUCUUAGCAACUGCCAUCCAUAGAAAAGUAAAAUGAUGAAUGCUAUCAUCACUUAUCUCACACUCUCAACCCUGCAAUUGAAAAGACUUAUUUUUCAUUUUCUUUACGGAAUAGGUGAUUCGAUUUAUUAAAAUAAAAAAAACCAAUAUAAGGGUAUAUGCAAUGAUAUUUAUGUCUUUCACUUGAUAGUGCAUCACCUUAAGGGUGCAUUUGGUAGACUAUCAUUGGGGUCUAGAAAUGUAUGCACAAUUCCAAUUCUUGGUUAGAUGGGAAUAUGAUUUUUUUUGAACAUGUGAAGAAUAAAAUGGUAGGAAUAAUUUCUCAUUUCCAUUUUUCUAUACAACAGUAUCAUGAAUGAAAUCAGAAAAGGAAAAUAUUUUCAGUAAUCCCUUUGUCAAUAUUUCUUCCACUUUGUUGAUAACCAAACAAAAAACCUCCACUUUCUUAACCAAAAGAAUUAAAGAAGGGCCAUUUUUUCUCUUCUUUUCUGUCACCCUCUUGUCAAUAAAAGGAAAGUUUUUCACAUUUUCAUAAAUCAAGAUAAUGCAAAGCAUGAAUUUGGAAAAUUAUCAUUUUUCUUUGUUUCUUCCACCUUUUCGACAGCCACACAUAAAAUCUCUACUUUCAUUGCAGUUUUGGAAGGAUGUCUUGUCCUUCAUGGUACUUACUAAUUGAUUUCUAUGAGUUUUUUGUUUCUGAGAAAAAGAAAAGAAAAUCUACAUAAAUUAUGCAAUUGAAAAAAGAAAAACAAUUUUUUUUUUCUUUCAUUGCUUCUUUUACGUUCAAGCACAGACUACUUGCUUUUUCAUCAACCUAAAAGAAUAAAAUAUCAAAUUAGAAAUAAUUUUCUCUUUGCUUGUUCUACUUUCUUUCUCAAGCGAAUAGAAAAUCAUCAUUUCAACAAAAAUAAUGUUAAAACAUGAAAUCAAAUAUAACUGAAAAUUUUGGUUUUUUAUUCCAAUUUCUUGGAUAGCUUGUUUUGUGUGUAUUUUCCUUUUCAUUCUCACUUGGAGGAGGGAAUGCAAAUAACUUGGGUGUGUGAAGGAAUGGAAUCAGAGAGCUGGCAUCAAGGUUCAAAGUUUUUGUCAAAUUCGAUACUACUGAGCUUAAGUGUAAUUGGAACAGCCAUUACUGAGACAAGAGUGAAACUUGAUACAAGAUUUGCCCACUGCAGCAAUGGAUUAGCUAGUCAUGACCAUACUGGAUGGGUCAUGGUUGGUACAUUUGAGUCAUGACUGACUUGCACCAUAUCUAGCCCAUACAUGUUCCAAAGCCAUAUUGAUUCCAAUCUUAUAGAUAAAGUUGUAUGUGAGGAAGGAUGACAGAUCCUUUCAUAAAAUGCAAAAACUAAGUGGACAUUGUAAGAGAAAUAUAGAUACAAUAAACCUCAAUACAAGAAUAACCCAAAAAGGUCAUUGGGGGAAAUAAAUCCCCCAAAUUACAGGAGGGAUGCUGCUCCUCUCUUGAUGAGACAAUCAACCUCUUGAUUUACCUUUCUAUGUCUGUAAAAGAAGCAUGAUCUUGAAACUCUAGAGAGGUGCACUAUUCCUUAGAGCUCAUGAGCUCAUCUCCAAUAUCUUCUCCUACCAGUGUAGCCCAAGAGAUCAUUAAUGUCAAAUCUCCUGCCAACAAAGUAGAGAUUCUCAAAUUACUGACUUAUUUUAGACCCUCUAUUAAGGCUAGGAUUUCUGCCUGAAAAGCCAAACCAAUUUGUUUCACUUUGAAAGGGCCCUUGUAUGACCUGGAUUUUCCCAAGGAUACGAUCAAAAGUAAGUUCAGGGACCCCUUAAAGUGGGGGAAUCCUGAAAAUAGCAGGCAGUUCUUCAAUCUGGUGACAAAAUGCUGACAGGUGCAUCUUCGAACCCCUUGGAGGCAAAAGCCCUAAGGAUCGUGAGGAAGUUGAUAAGGUGGCCUUUCAAGAGUGAGUCUUAUGUGAAGAGUUUGGUUUUGUUUUGCUCUAGAGCUUGGGGGGCUGCAUGAAUAACUUGCACCAUACCAAGGAGGAACCAACCAGGUCUUGUGCAGAAAAGAGUCCUUUGAAGAGUUCAUAGCUGAAAUCCUUAUAGUGUUUUGGAUCUUGUGCCUUAUCUCCUCAAAAGAGAGUUGGUGUGAAGGCUGAGAACAUAAUUGAUCAUAUUUGUGCUGUUCUGAGGAUGGGAAGAACUGCAUUGAGGUUAGCAACAACAAAUAUAAUGUUUUUGUUGAUGAACAUAGAAGAAGAGUGGUGUUUGAUACUGGUGUUUUUCCUGGUCUGUGAUGACAAAAGAUGGAAUUCCACCUGGUACAUAUAACAAGUUGAUGAGUUUGACAUGAGUGAUUUUGUUUGGGUCAUGAUGAUAAAAGUUACACCUCCACCCAAUAACAUAACAAGUUAAGCCUAGGGAAGAUUUGUUGUUCUGAGAUUCUGAAAGGAUUAAUUAUGAUGCUUAUCAUAGAAGUUGCCACAUCAUAUUUGCAUUUCUGAUGUAUUCACUGUCCAAUAUCUUAUCCCCUAUUGAAGAGACUUUCUUGAUGCUACUAAUGUAAAUUGGAAGGUGAGUGCCAUGUUAGCAGCAUAAAAUGCGAUAUCAGCUACACUAAUUGAUGCAUGUGGUUUUUCAAUUCACAUUAUGGAUUAGGUUUUAUUCACUUUGGAAGUUUUGGUUUUUAGAAGUCCAUUUGAGUUAUUUAGUUAGAGUUUUCUUAAAAUUAGGUAAUCAUAGUUUUAGUUUGAGCCCUAUUAGGAGAAUUUUGAGUCUUAUUAAGAGAAGUUUGAUUGUUAAUUGUCCUUUGUUUGCCUCUUAUUAACUUGUUAUUUAGUGCUCACCUAAUCGAAAUUAGUCCAUCUCAUCCACUGAUCUUGAUAAAUUCUGGAGUUCCUCUCUGUUCAGAUCACCUAUACAUAUUGAUAGACAAUGAAAGACGUAUAUAUAUGGCAAAAGAAAAGAGUACACCAGAGUAGUAUACAACAGGAACAAAAAAGCAAAGCAACAUAAGAGAGAAAAUGAAAAACAACUCUACCUUUAGAGCUCCUAUAUCAUAGCAAGAGCAGCUCAAGUCUGUAAUGCUCUCCCUUUAGAGCUCCUCUCAGAACCGCAAAAUAGGAUCACCUACAAGUGUGCAAUGUCUCUCAAUGCUACCAAUGCAACUCAGCUAAAAACUUUUACAAUAUCUUCAAAGCAAGGGGAGAAUGACAGAAAAGAUGAUCAGCAUAUGGGAAAAAGAUAUAGCAUUGUUCCAUAUCAAAGAUUGUGAAACCACAUUUGUCUGAAGUUGCUAUUGGAAAAUUAUUUUUGUGUUGUGGAGAUUAUUAAGAGAAAGGAUAGUCAAAGGCAACAUGUAUUAUGACUUUAGGAGUCUUCUUCCUCUGGAUGAGGUGGCUGAUUUAUUAUCUGUAUAUUCAUCUUUAUAAAAAUAUUUAAUAUUUUGAUUAGUAAAAGAUACUUUGUUUGCAUGGAAGAUGGUAAUAUACGAAGCACCUAUGAAAAUUAUGUUAGAAUGCAUAUGCUGACACUUGGGGGAGAGGGGGUAAUAACUGAACUAAUGCAACAUUUUUCGUUGUUGCAAUAACCCUUUCCAUUUCUAAAUAAGAUUUUCUUAAAUCAAAGAAGAAAAGAUGCUGUCACCUACAAGCACCCCUAGACUCACUACAACUACUGGGGUCCAUUCUAGGGACACCACUGCCACCACUUAGACAGUUGGACCUAACAUUGUUGCAUUACCAUCAUCAUUGUCACUGCCACCUGCAAAAACUUCCCUCUAUAUAUUUUAAAUUUUUCCAGAAAGAAUCAUGUGCACUGCAUGAAUGAUAUGUCAUGUGUGUAUUGUAGUAGCCUCCUACAUAUAUGUAGGCUUUAUUAAUUUAAUUUUUUUAUAAGAUUUAAAUAUUCAAUAUUUACACUAUUUUAUGCUAGCAUAGAUCUGCAAUUUCAUCUUUGGCUUUUACUGUGGUUUUAUCUCUGUAUUUUUCUUUGGUUUUCUCAGUUCUGUUCUUGGUUUCUAGUUUUUAAUAAUCAGCAUUAGCUGAAACUUAAAAAUGGCUUUCAAAUUGGGAUUUAGAAUUUUCUAGUGUGCAUGCAUGUAGAGUCUGUACACAUGCAUGCAUGUCUUUUGCUUCUAUUGCUAUGGUUCAAGUGUUGAGAUAUAUAGUUGGAUGGAUCCUUUCAAAUAGAAACAAAAAUCCUUUUAAUGAAGCUUACAUGACUUUAAAUAUUGUGUUAUGCACCUAGCAUGCAAUUUUCUGAUCUGGAAAUGAAUCGAUACUAUUUUAUUUACAUCAUGUCCAAUAUAGAUGUUUAUUGCUUACCUGCAGCCUUUUCAUUGCAGAAAAAAUGCAAAAGGCUUGGGAGGCAUCCAUGAGAUGCCUCCAGAGUAAGGCAUUCCCUUACAACCCUCAAUUUAAUGUGAGUUUUGUGGAAGGGCUGCCAGGGGUUAAAGAUGAAGUUCAUACUGAUUGUCGAGGUGGUAUCAUUGAAGGAGACUGCUCAUCAAGUAUAGAGUCUAUUGCACCUCCUAAUGAAGGCUACUAUGGGCCAAUGCAUCUACAAGAUUAUUAUCAACGGUCAACUUCCCAUCCAUACAUUCAAAAGGCACACCACAACCAAUUUCAUAUGGUUGAAAGCCAUUUUUAUCCCAUGAAUCACAAGUCCUGCUUUCCUAUGGAUAAUCAGCCUCACUAUGUGCCCUUUCUGCCCUUGAAGAUGUUAUCUCAAAGUCAUCCACAAGAUUUCCAUUUCCAAGAAUUUCAGUAUUUUGUGGUAAUUGACUUUGAGGCAACCUGUGAUAAAGAGAAGAAUCCUCAUCCACAAGAGAUUAUCGAGUUCCCAUCAGUACUAGUGAACAGUAUGACUGGCCAACUGGAAGAUUCUUUUCAAAUAUAUGUGCGGCCUACAUGCAAUCAUCUUCUGAGUGAUUUCUGCAAAGAGCUUACUGGUAUCCAGCAAAUUCAGGUAUGUUUAGAAUGUGAGUACCAUUCUUUCAAUUUUGUUUUUUCAUUUGAAAUGAUGAUGUCUCAUUCUGCAUGCGCUUAAACAAGCGUUGCUUGCAUACGCUUUACUCCUUUUAUUCAAUCAGCAGGCCGGCCAUGGAGUUCAGAAGAUGUGCACCUUUACUUCACUGUGUUAUUGCGUCUCAAUGUUGUUGCUGAUUGAGUACCUGCUGUAUUGCUAUACUAGGGACAUUUCAGCAAAUUCUUCCUGUUCUUGACUAGAUGGUGCUUUAGUUCCUUAUUUUUAUUGUUCAAUUUGGUGGCUGAAUUCAGAGGUCUAAAAUUUUGUUAACAUGUUAGCUGAUGCCCAAUGAUACUCAACUGUAUAUGGUUCCAUUCUCCCAUACUUAGCACUCUGUAGCAAUGAAAGUAAGAUGCUUCACCCAUAACAUGAGUGAUCAGUUUUUUUUUUUUUUUGUGUCAAAAACAUAUAUUAAAAAGAUGAUAGAUGAUGACAGAGGAUAUGUUCUUUUUUUUUUUUUGCUCUUGCUGUAAACAAUGAAAUUAUUUACCCAUUGGUGGUUUUCACAACCAUCAAAUCACCAAAGUUUCUAACUUUUAUUUUGGGCCAGUUCUCUCCAAUGUGCCUCUCUCAGCAGCAUUACUGGAGCCAUAAUAUGUGAAAUUGGACUCAGUAGUGAUCUUGUUAAUAAGCUUUUUGACUUGGGGACUAACAAGACUUUGCUUUUUUUUCUUUACUGGACAAGUCCCUUUAUAAUAAGGCUUAUUAGUAGUCCUUAGUGUGACAGUGUCCACAACAGCUAGAUUUUUCAGAACCAGUGAAUAUUUAUGAAAUUGAUGUAAGUAGCAUACUCAAUGUGCAAUGUAUCUCAAUAGGGACAGGAAGCAAGGUAUGAAAAUGAUAGGCAGGGAGUAAGAGAGCAUGAAAUAGAACAGAAAAAUGAUUCCUUUGAGACUAGACAUGAGGAGAAUGAAGAAGAUGAAAAAAAAAAAAAAAAAGGAAGCUGAAAGGGAGAGAGUACUUGAAAGAGAAACUUGAAACAUAGUGAAACUAACAUGAAUAGAUUAAACACUCUUUUAAAGCUACUAAAGCACAAGAAAUUGCUGAGGGAGAUAUGGUACUAACUCUGUUGAGCAUAACAGCAGUUUGGGAAGCAAAGAGAUGUGAUAGAGAGAGAAAGAGAGAGCUGGAGUUUGUAGUUGAAAGGAAAUGAGUUUAAGGAAGUUCUAGAAAGCUGGGAUCAAGCAAGCUAAAAGAGUCAUUUCCUUGCAAAGAGGAAAAGUAGAAGCUCUCUCUGAAAUGAUGGUCAACUAAUGGAAAUUAAUUCCCUGAUAAAAUCUUUAGACAACAUGAGAAGUUGGUCCUAUUUUAGAAACCACUCUGGAGGUCCUCACAAUUAUGGAGAAUUCCAAGGUAACUAUUGGACUCUUAAUUUUAAUAAAUUUGUAUAAUUCAAAUUGAGUUCCUUUUUUAGUGAACUUGAGGUAUUGGAUUUUCUUGUAUUCUGACAUUAUAAUCCAUUAUUUCAUCACCAGAUUGGCUCUUAUUGAUUCAUAUAAAUAUAAAGCUUCCCAGUUAUCUUAAUAUACACAAUGCCUUCAGGUGGACAAUGGUGUUCUCCUAAGCGAAGCUCUACUCAUGCAUGAUAGAUGGCUUGAACAGAAAGGGAUUAAGCACACCAACUUUGCUGUGGUGACAUGGUCAGACUGGGAUUGUCGGGUGAUGUUGGAAUCUGAGUGCCGAUUCAAGAGGAUCCGAAAGCCACCAUAUUUCAACAGGCAAGUUUAAUCUCCUUUGAUGAGUGUUUGUUUGGAUUUCCUUAGGAAAUGGGAUUAUUCCAUUGUGCUUUAUAUCACAUUUCAAAAGUCAAGUUGAUGGUUUGAAAUUGAACCAUUACAUAAUCGGUAAGAUGCUUAUGAGCUAGAAGUGAUUUCAUUUCUCCUUGUCCUAAUUUUUCCUUAAUCAAAGGUUACCAAAAAAUGACUACCCUUUUGUGGAGGAAAACAAAUGUGGCUCAUUUUGAAUAGUAUGGAAAUGUAAUGAUUAAAUCUUCAUUGUACUUAAGAAAAUGUGUUGGUCGUAAGAAUAUUAAUGUGGGAUUGUUUUCUUCUAGAAUGUUUUGUUGGAGACAAGAAAAAUCAAAGAUAUGCAUAUUAUUCUAGCACUUGUUACUCUUGCUCCUUACUGGGGAAGUACUCAUGUUUCACAUGACAUUUAAAUACAAAAUAGUAAUUAAUUUAUAUGAUUCUAUAAUGUUAGGCUAUAUUAACUCUCCCUAAAAGUUUAAGUUGUUAGGGUUUAGGCCCACAAUGUAUACUAGGCUAACAACCCCACACAUAUGUGGCCCCACCUGUAUUGGAGAGACAAAUUAGCAACAAUAGUUGUAGAUAAAUAGAUGGAAAUAAUAGUGAUGGAGAAGAACCUUUAGGUGUGACGUUCCCCCCUUUAUUCUCAAGCAUGAUUUUAAAUUCUUGGGUUUUGGUGAGGGUGGGCUUUAUCAUGUGGGAAGCUACCUGGGGGAGGAUAUUAAUGUUGGACCAGCUUAAAAGGAGAGAGUGGCGAAUUCUGAAUAGAUGCUAUUUAUAAGAAGAAGAAGAAAUAGUUGAUCAUAUCCUACUGAAUUGCACAAAAGCAGUUAUGUUGUGGUAGCUUGUCUAUGCUUUUUUGGGAUUGAAUGGGUGAUUCACUUCACAAUAAGAAAGGCCCUUUUGGGCAUAUAUCUUUUGUUGGGAGGAAGGGUAUGAAAGCCUGGAAAGCUCCUUUCUGUUUAUUUUAGACCAUUUGGAAAGAAAGAAAUAUGAGAGCUUUUAAAAAUAUUGAAAUAGGGGACCAAGCUAUCAAGCAAUCCUGCAUGCAUAUUUUUUAGGAGUGGGUUAGAGUGUACAUAGGUGAUAGCUCUUUUGAAUUGGUGUCAGGCUUGAAAAUAGCUCUUUGUCCAUUUUGAACUUCAUUGAUAGCUCUAAGUGAUGUCCUUUGUAUACAAUGUGUAUACUUUUGUGCACUAUUUUGUUAGGCACUUUUAAUAUAAUUUUCUUUACUUGUCAAAAAGGAAAAAAAAAGGGGAAACUAACGAUAAGAGAGACUUGAAGUUGAGACCUCUAGCUCUGAUAUAAUGCCAAAGAAGAAAAAAAGAAGAGAGAAAAUAAAAAAAGAAUGAGAAAAAGUAAAGUCAUAAAAAACCAUGAGUGGUAUCACAAAUUUAUAGUUACAGGUUUUAAUGCAAAAUGACUAUAGUAUCUUUCAUAAGUAUGCUAAGAUGCAUAAUGAACAAAACACUAAUAAUACUCUCCCUCAAAUUGAGGCACAUAUAAAUAUUGGACCUAGCUGGGAACACAAGAGUAAAACUUCUUUUUCCUAAAGCUUUAGUACAAGUAAAGGUAUCUCUAACCUGAUCUUUUGAUUUGACAUAAGGAAUUAUAAGCUUCUUGUUCACCAUAACUUUUCUGAUGAAGUGACAAUCAACUUCAAUAUAUUUGUCCUCUCAUGGAACAUAGGAUUAUUAGCAAUAUGUAAUUAUGUAUAGUAGCUUGAUUGUCACAAUGCAUCAUCACCUUUGGUUUGUCAAUAAGAAAUCCCAAUUCUUGUAACAAGUUCUUAAAUGACUUAAGUUCACAAUUACUGUGAGCCAUAGCUCUAUAUUUACCACAAACAUAAGUACAAUAAUCAGUAAUAGAUCCUCUUUCAGUGGAAAAGCCCACCCAAUCUGCAUCAGAAUAUCUCUCUGACACAAAUUUGUGUCGAAGGAUUUUUUCUAUAGAUAAUCCCCAUAUCAACUAUGCAUUUUAAAUAUUGGGGGUUCUACAAACAACUUCCUAAUGAACAUUCUUUGGAGUUCCCAUGAAUUGAUUCAUGACAUUAAUAGCAACCGUAAUAUCUUGUCUAGUGACAGGCAAGCAUAUUAGCUUCUCAAAUAGGCUACUGUAUUUCUUUCUACCACUAAAUUCAAAUCUUUCAUCUGCAUCAAAUCUGAUAUUUUGCUCUAUAGAGCAAGCUUAGUUCCCAGCAUUUUAGUUUCAGUAAGUUUAACACAUUCCCAUUGUGAUAACAUUACUCCUUAGUCCUUCCUCACCAUAAGCUUCUUCUAUUAUGAGGAAGGUAGCAUAGUAAUCCAAGAUCUUUGGGUUGAAAGCUUCCUCACCAUAAGCUUCUUCUCUUAUGAGGAAGGUAGCAUAGUAAUCCAAGAUCUUUGGGUUGAAAGUUCAUUCUUAGGUGGUUCUUUAUUUAUUUAUUUAUUUUAAUCAGAAACAACAUACGUAUUAUGUAUGGAUAAAUAUAUACCUAAGAAGAAUGAGGAACCUCCCUAAAAUUGCAAGUAAUAAAAAAUGUGUGAUUGAAACCUCCGAUAUACCAAGGAGGCCUAUGCAUCAGAAUAGUACCAUAUGGGAGUAAUAUACAAAAAGAGCAUCACAUCACUCCAAGAUGACAUAACCUUCUCCUUCCAAAAGAAACCUAAUCAAUGUUCUUCUCUUUGCUAACCAAACCUUUUUGAUCUACACACCAAAUAUCAGUUGAUUUGGACAACAUUGAGAUGAAUGCCCUUCAAUACUGUGGUACAUGAGGCCCAAAAGGAGGACUAGAAAUGAACGAGAUCCCAUAGAGUCUCUAAAUGCCUCAUCUUAACAAAUUCUAGCAUUUCUUUUGUGCCAAACAACCUAAAUUAAUGUGAAACAUGCAGUUUGCCAAAGGACUUUGCCUUUAAUGGUGCUCCCUAUGAGAUGGUUAUCAUGUCACAUAUUCAUGAUGUACUGUUGGUCAAUUUGAAUAGUUUGUGCCAUAGUCUUAAAGUCAAUGAACAAUGUAAGAAAAGAUGAUCAAUUGUUUUUGUACUCUCCAUACACAAGAUGUAAUAAUUAGCACUAAGGGCUUUGUAGGAUCUUUGCAAUUGUAGCAUGUGAUUGGUGUUUACCUUCUUGUGUGCCACUAGUCAAUAAGGGCUUCGACCUUAGAUGAGAAUUUAGAUUUCUACGAAAAAUUAGUUGGAUAGAAGGAAUUGGAUUUGAUGGAUUGUAAAUAAUCUUAAAGAAAAUAAUGACCAAGCUCCCAUAUCUAGGAUGGAUGGAGGACAUGAGUCUUUCAAAAAAGGGGUCAUCUAACCAAGUAGCACUCUCUGUUGAUAUAGAUGGCUAAUCCAAUCCUUUUAACCUCCAAGAAUCUCCCGAGGGUCUCGAAUAUGACUUUUCAAAAAAGUGCAAUAUCUCCUUUGAAAUACUUUCAACAUUCUCCAAAAUUGGCCCUUCUUCAUUCAUCAUGGUCUUGAUGAACUUCCUAUUGCACCUACCAUCAACCAACCCUAUGGAAAAAAUAGAGUUUCAAUCCCUUUCUUUUUACUCAUCUCAUGCUCACCUUCUGUCUCCAAUGCAUCUCUUCCCUUAACAACAAAUCCUUUAGCUCCCCCUUUCUCAAGGUUAAAAUCUUAGGAGAUAGAUUCCCUUCUUGCUCAAUAGCACCAAUGCUAGCAAUAUCUAUUAAGGAUAUUGUCCUUCCUCUUCUUUACCCUCUGAAAGACACCUUAUUUUAUUCUUUCAGUUUUGAUUUAACAAAUUGUAGCUUUUUCAUGAACCCAUGACCUUCCCACCUUACACUCUAGAACUUUCUCCACCCAAAGCUCAAUCUUUCGUUGAAAUGUGGGUGGAGUAACUUCAUGUUUUCAAACCUAAAAGGAGUUGGUGCCCACUUAAAUGGAUUAGUGUCUAAAAUAAUUGGGCAAUAAUCAAUGGUCAACCUAGAAAAAACUUCCUAGAGGCUUUGAUUUGACCUUAAAUUAAUCAUGAUUGAAAAAAGAAAUACCACUUGUGCACAACUAGUUUGAAUCACAUAUCAUCAAUACCCUUCCCAUUUCCCUAUAAGUUAGAAGAGAAGCCCAUUCCUUAUUCCUAACUAUCAAUUUAACUAUCCACACAUUGACAAUAAACCUUUUAUCAUAUCUCUCUCUCUUUGUUUCUUGAAGCAUCACAAUGUUUGGGGAUUCAUGAUGUAGAAAAUCCUUAGCAAACCACCCCCCUCCUUUUUUUUUUUUCUUUUUAAAUUUCCUAGAUCCCAAUCCUCAAGUAGUCCCUCUAAUGAUCUUCAUAACAACACUUACUACCCAUCAACCUUUUUUUUUUUUGAUAAGUUACCCAUCAACCUUUAAACCAGCUCCUGCAGAACACGAAAACCUGUGCGUGAAGUUCUGUACUUUCUCCUGAGGUACUAUCCAUAGAUUUUGCCUUGUUACUCCCCAUGGGUAUGACAUUCUUGCAAUACUCGACUAGAUUGAGUUUGAUGGUGGUGAAAACCAAUUGAACUAUCCAUUUUACUAAGGGUGGGACCCUUUUAUAUGAAAACCUUCUAUGAGGAGGAAUCUCGUUCAAUAGGGUGAUCUAUGAUUGAGGUAUGAGUUUCCUUAGGGACGCUAGGUAGUGAGGGAGUUAUGGAGAGGAACACCAUUAGAUACUUGGCUGGGACAAGUUGAAGGGGACUCAACACAUACGUAAUUAGGACUGCCAACAUUAUACACAAGCAUUGUACCAAAAUUAUUUUUAGUGGAAUUCAUGACAGGGAUAGUUGGUGGACCAGAAUUGGACAAAGAUGGUUGCAUUGAGUUGGGAAAUAACAUUAUCAUAUGUUUUUAAAGGAUGAGUUAAUAUAUUUGCUUUGUUUACCUUUAAAAAAAAAAUGUUAUUAAAGGAUGAGAUAUUAAGAUAAGGGGAGGGGGCUAACUGGGAUUAAGGGUUGAAAGAUAGUAGUCAUGGUUACCUUUCUCAACACAUCGACAAAUCAUAAGUCCUAUCCAAGUUUUGGCCCUUGGCACUAGUUCUAGAUUUGAAGGUGUAGCUUGAACUAUAGGACCAUAGUAAGAAUGGCCUCUAACUUUGUCAACCUCUCUAAUGUCUAUAAUAGUCACUUCUCGGUUAUAUUCUAUUUCGCCCCACAUUGGGAUCGUAGCGGGACCCUUCGUGGAAGUCAAAUUCUAAGGGGAUUGUGCACCCUCUCUCCUUCCUAUUGAGCCUCUUAUCCUCCUUUGUGAGAGAUUUCCUCUAAUUGGGGGUUAUAUCCAAUCUCCUUGAUGCCAUUUGCUGAUACAAAUCCUUCCCCUCUUAAAUCCCUUAGGAUCCCAUUGAAAAAUUCUUGAACUCCCUUAGGAUCCUAUCAAAAGAUUCUUAGAUUGGAAUCAAACCCUUGGUUGAUGGAGGUAAGCUUUUUCUUCUUAUCUAGUGAAUAUUGUGAGAUUUAGGAGUGAUGGAGCUUGACCUUUGCUCACACAACUCCUGUAUGUAAAUUUGGGAUGGAUCUCCUAUGGGUAUGAUUGGGGAUACUAGGCCUUCAAAUAAUAAUAACUACUAGCUCAUACCAUAGUUUGGGCCUUUCCUUGUCAAGGACACCACUUCAUUCUGGUUUGCUUCUUGAUCUUAGCCCACUACAAGACUUGGGAUCCUUUCAGAAAGAUAGGCUUGCUUCUCUAAUCUUCUCUCCUUCCUUUUUGCCUGACUUGCUUCUGUUGAAAAGGAAUUCUUGGAGUCUCGAAAAGAAUAGGCUUGGCCCUCUUGAAGAUUUGUUGAAACUCGGAUUUUUUUCCUUAGGAAAAGAUUAGGCCUUGCAAACAAUUGAUCUUCUUAUAAGUAAAGAAGGCACCGCAUGCUCGAUUAAUAGAUCUUUAGAGUCUUGGAAAUGGGCUAACGCUACACUAUUGCUCUGCCUUUGCUGAGAGGCCCCCCUCCAUUUGAAACCAGAGAUAGUGGAUCAUAGUUGUCCUUCACUAAGACUCUUCUCUUGCCAUGUGUCCCAUUAUGAGACUCUCUCCUAGCCCUUUGAAGAGCAUUAGAAUGUUGAUAUUUGCCACGUGUCCCACAUUGAGACCCAUUCCUAGCCACGUGAUAUGCCCCACUGUGCUGAUUCAUGCCACAUGUCCUUGAUAAUAACUCCUUUCUCCCUUGAGUUGGCUCAACCUUUCCAAACCACCUUUCAUCUUCAUCUUUGAUCACUACAAUAGAGAUUGUAAACAUCCAUGCCCCAUCCUUCACCUCCAUCAACCCGGGCAAGACAGUGUGUUCCUUCAUCUCUACCCUCACCCUAACUUUUGAUAGAUCAUACAACUUCAGAGUGCACCAAUCAAUCUCUACCAUGAUCCCCUGAACCUCCACAAUCAUCUUCAAAUGUUCUUUAGACCACAAAUGAAAUGACAAUCCAUGUAAUUUAAUCCACCCUUUUUAUGAACUUACCUAAAACCAUUAAAAGUUUUCCCUAGGCGACCAUCUUCUCACUAAAGUUUUGUACUUGCCCUUAACCAUGACAUGCCCCAAAUCAUGUAUAAAGGAAGCUUCCUCGAUUGUCUUCGCAAAGAGUAACCCCUUUGUUGUUGUGAAAGGGAUAAUAGACACCAUGCCCUUUGAACCUAGAGCUUGACUCACCUCAACUCAGUUAACAUUAAACAUAGGGUAUUUGCGCAUCACUACUCUCACCCACCUCUCGAUUGGAAUAUAAUGUCCUCUCCUCAAUCCUUCCUAUUGAACAAUUCUUGCAUAGGAAUGAUUGAAUUGUGCUUUCUUUCAACAUAAAUAGGGCAUUGCAUCUUUGUCUGGUUAAUUCCGUUAACGAAUGAGAUCUCAGCCUGCUAACUAGCUAUGUGAAGGUGAGCCUCCACAGCCAGCUUCUUAGAGGGAUUAUGGCCGCUUAGGCCAAGGAAGUUUGAGGCAAUAACAAGUUUGUGAUGCCCUUAGAUGUUCUGGACCGCAUGCGCACUACACUGAUGUAUUCAAUGAGUCUAUAGCCUUGGCCGACAGGCUCAGGUAAUCUUUGAAAUUUCAUCGUGAUGGGGAUAGAUCAUUGCAAUUGUUGGUCUUCAACGAUGAAUUCCUAGUAAGUGCGAGUCAUCAGCUUGCGUUGACUACAUCCCUGCCCUUUGUACGCACCGCCCUGUUGCUCCUACCGAUUGAAUGGUCUGGUGAAGUGUUCGGAUCGCAGUGAUGUGGGUGGUCCGCUGCCCGCGACAUCAUGAGAAGUCCAUUGAACCUUAUCAUUUAGAGGAAGGAGAAGUAGUAACAAGGUUUUCGUAGGUGAACCUGCAGAAGGAUCAUUGUCAAACCUUCGAACGAACCGCGAACACGUUUUAACACUCUGAGGGGGGGGGGCGGGCCCACCACUCCGCCACCAUAAACUACCAUGUUAGGUGGAGACUCCAUCCUUGAAGAAAUCACAUGUUUUGAUUUCUUCGAUCCAUUGCCUUUCUCACCCUCUAAUAUUACUAAAAAGGUAGACUUUCAGUUAGAUGGCAGCUUAGAUCACUUGAUAAACUUGUCAUUUGUGUUGAAUUGCACUUCCAUUAGAUGAACCCUUGUCUUUCCUUAGUAUUUUCUGUUGAAAUCCAUGAAGCCCUCCACCUCAACUGCUUCCCCAAUCGCUCUAGUAACCAUCGAACUUCUUUCUUUUCAAAACCCAUAGAGAAAAUAGAACCUAGGCUUUGCUCUAACACCAAUAUCCAUAUCCCUCUAACCUUGCCUUCAAAUCUUACCUCGAAGGUUUUCCUUUCCACACUGCACAACCUUCUCGUACUCUUCCCUAUAUGGUAUAAAAUGUUAUUUUUUAGGUGGUUCUUUACUUUUUUAAUUCCUACAGAAUUGCUUCCUCAAAUGACAGUGUCAUCCAUAUGUAGCAUGGGUAUCACUAUUUUAGACUUCCUUUUAGGAACAAACAUUGAGUGAUCUGACCGACAUUGAUAAAAGCCAUUUGUUGUUACUACAACAUUGAACUUAUCAAGAUAUGCAGGAGAAGAUUGCUUUAACCCUCAGAUUCUCCUCUUUAAACAUCAUGCUUGUAAUCCGUACUCCCCUUAAGCAAUGAACCCAAGUGGUUACUCCAUGAUAGAUUUUUCCAAUUGAAGUUGGUGACUAAGGGAAUAAAGAUAUGGAUUAAAUCAAGACAGGAAGUUAGAGAAAAUGUCUCAAAAUAGUCUACCCAUAAGCGUAAGUAUGGCCUUUAACAAGAAGUUCAACUUUGAGCCCUGCUCAAUUGUGUCCUCUAGUUGAUAUUUUAUGGGAUAUACCCAUUUACACACUACUAGUGUUCCUGGUAGGUAAAGUAGUGAGUUCCCAUGUGCCGCUAUUUACCAGGGCAUUCAUCUCCUCUAUAACUUUCUUCCAUUCUGGAUGACUCAAGGUGGCUUGAUAAUUUUUAGGGGUAGAGAAAACAGACAAAGCAGUUGAUAAAGCACAAUAUUGAGAGAGAUCAUGAGUGGUAAAAUAACUAUCAAGGGGAUAUUGAAGACAAGGAUGUCCAUCUUUACAAAGAGCCAUGUAUAAUUUGGAAGGAUCGGUCACAAUAACCGAUGGUAGAGUAGAUAGGAUUGAGCAUGAAAGAGACUAAUUAGGAGCAGUUGAACCAUGGGUCCAUUGAUAUGCCAACAACAAUUUAGAAGGGGCUGAGGUAAUAGUUUCUGAAAUUUGUGAAGGAUGAGGAGGUGAAGAACAAAGUUUUGAGUGUAGCGAGGAUCUUGUAGAAGAAAAAAGGAAGUAGACUCAAGAAAAGUCACAUUUGCAUUGACAAAGCUCCUAUGACAGAUAUGAUCAUAACAUUUAUGCCUUUCUAAGUUUGAGAAUAUUGAAAGAAACACAUUUGAUGGUACAAGAUGAUAAGUUAUCUUGAUUUGGAGGACAAUGUUUAACAAAACAACCAAAGAUACAAGGUGGAAGAGCAAAUGAAGGCUGAUCGAGACACAACAACAAAUAUGGAGAAUACCCUUUUAAUACAAAUGGGGGUAACCGAUUAAUCUAAUAGUAAGUAAUUAAGAUGGCAUCCUCCCAAAACUGUUUAGGAACGUGCAUGUGGAACAUGAGACAUUGGCCAACAUAAAAAAAAUAGUGGUUUUUUCUUUCAGCAACCUUGUUUUGUUAUGGUCUGUACACAAGAAGUUUGAUGAAUAAUACCACAACUUGUGCAAAAAGAAGUCAAUGCAUGGUUUUUAUAUUCAAGGACAUUAUCUGAAUGAAGAAAACAACUAAAAUAACCAAACUAAGUUUUCAUUUCAUUAAAAAUAUAAUGAAAUACAUGAGGAACUUCAAAAAGUUCUUUAUGCAAGUAGAAUUAUAUAACAUGUGAAUAAUCAUUGACAAAACUGAUAAAAUAGCAAAAGCCUUGAAUAUGGGGAACUUGACAUGGGCCCAAAGCAUCAUAAGGAGCCACUUUAAAACAAGAGGACUCUUUUUUAAGUCGCACGGGAAAGGAAGAACAAUGAUGUUUCCCAUACACAUAAGAUUGACAUUUUAACUGAUAAAAUGAAAUGGAGACACAGAGGAGGACAAUGCAACAACAUGAAAGUAACCAUCAUUGUGAAGCUGCUACCAAUCUUCUUCUUUAUGAUCAAAUCCUUAAAAACACAAUAAAAAAGAAGAAUCGUACUAUAAUAAUUUUGUUGUUUUGUUAAUUGACUAAUAGAAGCAAGAUUAAUUGAUACUUUAGGCAUAUAUAGCACGGGUCAAGAUGAAGAGGUAAAGAAAAAGUAGGAUGAGAAACACCUAGACCACUAUCCACAGAAGAAAAACCAUGAGCCAAUCAUAUGGAAAAAUUGUUGAAGAUGGAUUAAGUAUGGAAAAUUUUGAAGAUGUCCCAGACAUAUGGAAGGCAGUGUCAGAGCCAAUAAUCUGAGGGUUAGGGUUAUGAGAUGAAAGAAGUGCAGUACCUGUAUGGGCCAUUGUAGCCAUGGGAGUGUUGGUUUUAGUAGCAGAAGGGGCCUUAGAUGAUGUUAGCACCACUUGAAUAGUAGAUGGCAUAGAUUCUGAUGCAUCCCAGUCCUGUUUCCCAGAUUUGCCCUAGCAUUUGUCGAAAUAAUGACUAGUCUUACCAUGGUGAAUAUAGUAUUGACCCGUUAAAAGUGCAAGAACGUGAGGACACUUUAUGUUGGAAAGAAGAUAGGAGAGGAUUGUUCAGCGUCAAGAUUCAUCUUGUAAAAUGGCUAGUUGUUUGCUUGGAUAAAAGUAAAGAGGGUUUGGGGGUAAAAUGCCUCUCUACUCUUAAUAGAUCUCUUUUGGGUAAAUUGAGUUUACACUUUAUGGUAGAAAAUGAGGCUUUUUGGUAUCAAGUUAUUAGUAGGAAGUAUGAAGUGGAAGAAGGGGGGCAGUAUACUUGGGAAGGUAGAGAGGGUUUUGCAGUGGGGUUGUGGAAGGAGAUUAGAAAGGAAGGUUGAUGGGGAAAAGUCUUUUAAAGUUUAUUCAAGGAAGAUAGGGAAGACCUAAGUAAACUUUAAGUAAGAUUAAUAUUAAUUAGAAUUGAAUUGGGAUUGGUAUUUGUUAGAGUCUAAUUAGGAUUAGCUAGUUGAGUUAUAAUAUAAUUAGAAUUUGAGUCAUGAUAGGUUAUUAGAAUCCUAGUAGACUUUGGAUGUUAUUAUUAGAAUUAUAAUCAUAAUAGGUUAUUAGAGUCCUAGUGGACUUUGGAUUUCUUAGAGAAGCUUAUAAAUAGACUAAUCAAUGUAAAUCAAAGGAAUGAUUUGAUAUGAAUAAUAUUAUAUUUUCUUUCAUUGUAAGGUUGCAACCCUCAAUGGUAAGAUUCCAUUUAUUUUCUUCUAGGUGAGACUCCUAGAAAGCCUUAAUGAGACUCUAAGGUUUUCCAUUUUUUCUUCAUUGUUUCUUUUUUCUCUCUAUUUCUUAUCUUAUAAUUUUCUCUACCAUAAAAUUUAUUUUUUGUUCCUCUCCUUGCACCCUAAAAAAUAAAACCCUAGCCCACCUACCCUUGAGUGUAGGCAACCAUCCUAGGGUUGUCCUACGUCAAAGGUUCUCGGUUGAGCAACUACAUUGGGUUUUCUGUGGGUAAUGGAAGUAGAAUCAGAUUUUGGUUGGAUCCUUGGUGUGGUGUUGAGGCUUUGUGCAACUCUUUCCCCUCUUUGUUUGCUUUGGUGGUUUCUAAAGAAGACUGGGUGGCGGAGGUGUGGGACUCUUCGGUUGAGGGGGGGAGUUGGAGUCCUCAUUUUUUGAGGGCCUUCAAUGAUUGGGAGGUAGUCUUGGUGGAGCGGUUGCUCUGGACAAUACAAGGAAUUAGAGUUAGUGCAAAUUUGGAGGAUAGGGUGAUUUAGAAAAAGAUAAAAAAUGGGUUUUUCAUAGUUACGUCUCUUUAUAGUGCUGAAGAACCAGGAAAUACAGUCCGGUUUCCAAGAAAAAUAAUUUGCAGCCCUUUUGUUCCUCCAAGAAUGGGUUUUUUUUUGCUUGGGAAGCCUCUUAGGGGAAAGUUUUAACUUUGGAUCAACUCUAAAGGAGGGGUUAGUCCCUUGCCAAUAGAUGUUUCUUUUGUCUAGUCGAAGUGGAGUCUACUAAUCACAUCUUAAUUCAUUGCACGAAGACUAGAGUUUAGUGGGAGUUAUUAUUCGCUCUCUUUGGGGUGACUUGGGUUCUCCCUUGUUUGGUAAGGGAGACUCUCCUUGGUUGGUUUGGGUCAUUUGUGGGCAAGAAGCGCAAAAAAGCUUGGAAGCUGGCUCCUUUAUGCCUUUUUUGGGUGGUGUGGAAAGAAAGAAAUGUGAUAGCGUUUGACAAAGAAGAGUUUUCAGUUCAUAGAUUGAAGCAUUGUUUUGUAUGUAGUUUAUGGUCUUGGACAAAGUUGUAUAUAGAUGUUUGCCCUUUAUCUUUAAUCGACUUUUUUGAUUGGUUGGGCUUUAGGUGAGAGCGGGUGAGGUUUUUGUUUUUCCUCCUGUUUUGCUCUUUUUUGCCUUUUGGCACCUAUUGUGUACUUUCUGUAUGCCUUGGGUUGCUUUCCGGUCUUCCUUUUUCUAAUUAAUCUACUCUCUACUGUGUUUAUCCAUCCAAAAAAAAAUAUUAUUGUUCUCUAAGUGGGGAGAAUAAUUUUGCUUUUCUGGGAAAAGAGGUUUAGGGAUCCUGUGCUCCUCUUAGAACUUUCUUUUUUGCUUGGGAAGCUGUUUGGAGGAAAAUCCUAAUUGUAGACACCUUAAUGAAGAGGGGAUGACAAAUGGUCAAUAAAUAUAAUCUUUGUAAAGAGAGUGAAGAAUCAACCAAUCACAUUCUGAUUCAUUGUGCCAAGACAAGAGAACUUUGGAUCUUUUUAUUAGUCCUCUUUGGAGUGACUUGGGUAUUUCCAGUUUCAUUAAGAAAUCUCCUCCUUCAAUGGAAAGUUAAGGGGUUUCAAAAGAAGAAUAGAGCAAUUUGGUGCUUGGCUCCCAUUUGCUUAUUUUGGUGUGUUUGGAAAGAAUGUAAUCGAAGAACCUUCAAAGAUGAAGAACUCUCCGACCAGGGUUUAAAAGAUCUCUUCUUUCAGACUCUUUUUGAGUGGACUAGGGAUUCUUUGGAGCUGGAUUUCCCCUCUAUGUUGAUUUUCCUAGAUACUCUUUGUUGUGGUUAACUUUGCUUUGUUUUGUUUGUGUGGUCUUUCUUUGUUUGAGGUGUGUUUGGCUUGUUUUUGUGUAUAUAACCUAUAUACGUAGGGCGCACCCCCUCCUUUUUAGGCGCUUAUUUUUACAUGUUCUUGUUGUCUAUAAAAAAAAAACAGUAUUGGUCAUCCCUAACAAGGCCUCCCACUGCAUAAUGAGCUUGAUCACAAGGACUAUUAACACCUCUUCCUCUAGUGCUAGAGGAAACAUUAAUCAUUGAAGGGGAGAAUAGAUGUUGCUGAUUGAAGGUAAGGUUUCACUUGAGACUAAGUCUUCACUUUAUAGUAGAUAGGUUGAAGACCAAAUAAAAAUUUAGCAAGUACAAACCCUUUUUGCUAGCUUUUGCAAUUUUCCAUAUUACUAUGAUUGAUAUUUAGUGCUUCACUCAUAAUUUUAAGAGUCCUAUCAUAUUCACCAAGAGGUUUAUCAUCCUAUUUGAGGCCAAAAAUAUUUUCAUGUCUGAUAAAUGUUUUUAUCUUUUCCGACAAGUAAGGAAACGAUACAUUAAAAAGUGCCAAAAGAAUGGUGCCCAAAGUACACAAGAUGUAUACAAGAGCACUAAAGGGCUAAAAAUAAGAUGACGGGAAACCAAAAACAUUCCCUCCCCUUGCUUACAAUCUCACCAAUCUACAAAGUCUUGCAAAGAAAGGAUUUAAGCUCUUGAUCAAUAAGCUCUACAUUAUCAAAAGCCUUCCUAUUUCUCUUUUACCAAAUAGUCCAGAGCAAGCACAAAGGAGCGGCUUUCAUGCUUGUUUCCAUUGCUUCCUGACAAAGCAACUGUUCCAACUUAAAAGAGUUGAUUCACCAAAAAAAUCAACACCCAUGCAAUACUAAGUAGGGAGAAGACUAACUGCCCUAGAAUUCUUUCCUUGGAACAGUGGCGGAGGAUGUGCUCAAUAGAUUCUUCCUCACCUUUGCACAUAAAACACCUAUUCACCAAAAUCCAACCUAUCCUCAUUAUCUUGUCCUUGGUUAAAAUACCUUUCCAAACUAAUAGAUGUUUCCAUCUUGAGGAUAAGUUUCUUGCCUCACAGACAAUGUCCCGAGUUUCUUUAGCAAUACCCAAAAACAUCAUAUUAGCACUAACAUAAGGAGACAUGCUAUUCAAUAAUCACAACAUGAUCAUAAAAUGAUCCUAUUGCCACUUUUCAAAAUUAGGGACUUCAAAUCUGGAGGAUCAAAAGGAGAUAGCAUCCCUUAUGCACCAAUAUGUACUUUUAACUGCCUUAGACACAUAGGUCAAUUCAAUUCAUUUUAUUGAGAUAAUUUGUAAAUUCAUAGGAUCAGGAGAUAGAGAUCCACUCUGUGCCUUAUCGGGGAAACAGUAGGAAGAGGCAAGCAGCAACCAUGAGGUAGAAGACAACAGCAGCUAUGAGGUAGUAGACAGCAGAACAUAGUCACUUGACAGAAUUAUCAUUUCCUAUAGUAGCAGAAAAUAAAGGUAUAUAGGCCACAGACCAAAAAGGAGAUUUCUAGAUCAGCAUAUGGUUCACAGUAUAGGACUCCCAUGGUAGGUAGUAGUAAGUCAUAGACCAAAAGCAAGGCAAAUUGCAUGUUUCUAAUCCAUAAAUACAGCAGACUUCUAUCAUCAAUAACCAAUAGAAACAGCUAGGGGCAAACAAAAAGUUGCAGAAAAUAGAACUGAAUAUGAGAAUUGGAGAGGAAACAGAAAAUAGGAACAAAUCUACAUAGGCAACCAGAUCUGAUUUUCUGGAAAAAAAAUAAAAAAUUGCAAGAUUCAAAGUGAUUUGAAUCUUUCAGUAGAUUAGAGUGGUUGCUACAUGGUGUGUAGGGCUUAGGGUGAAUUGCUGCAGGAUAGUUAGGGUUUAAACAGAGUUGCAGCAUGGUUGCUGUUAGGUAGUUAACACCUUUUAUGCCUUUUCUUAUCCCCAAACAGGAUUUUGUAACUACCUGAUAAGCUGGAAAAAGGGUCUGCUGCCUAAUAAAGCCCUAGAAAGUAAUAGACGCUAGCUCUGUCAUUCUCUUGAACUGCUUGUAACAACUAAUAAAACAAAUUGCAACUUAAAAUGACAAUCAUAUUCGCAUCUUACAUGUGUAUUACUUUCUCUCUGUCUCUCUCUCUCUUAUUUUCCUUUUUCCACUUGUGGUAUAUGAAAACAUGUCAGAAAAUUAUUAUCCAAAACGACAUUCUAUGCCAUUUGACACAUUUUAAUGCUCCACCUUGUUCACAUUUAAGAAUGGUCCUUGAUAGGAAAAUGCUAGUUUUAAUGUCUCUUUUACCAUCUUUUCAUUUUUACCAGACUUUACAGUUGAUGUGCCAUCACCACAACAGGUUGUUAUUUGCCUGAAUGUGCUGAAGUGUUAAUAUUUUGCACUUAUGUAAUGUUGUCACAUUCAUGGUCAUCUCAGAUGGUAAACGAGGUCAUUAAACUAGUGCUAGUACAUCUCCCUUCUUAAUGCAUGCAUAUCAUACACCAAAAGAAAAACUUGUGAUGGACUAUUCUCUUUAUUUCAUCCUUUUUCAGGUGGAUUAACUUGAAGGUUCCAUUCCAUGAGGUAUUUGGCAACAUCAGGUGCAACCUAAAAGAAGCUGUCCAGCGGGCUGGGCUACUGUGGGAAGGCCGUGCUCAUUGUGGUUUGGAUGAUGCUAAGAACACUGCUCGUUUACUUGCCCAUAUCAUGCAUCGUGGAUUUAGGUUCAGUAUAACCAACUCACUGAUUUGGCAAUCUACUGAGCGCCCUUCGAUAAGGCAGCAGUUCCAUGAUUGCCAAUAUGGCCCCAUCCAGCAUCCCCACAAAUUGAAGCACCCACUAGGGCCCUUUAUGCGGUUUCAUCCAAUCCCAGUAGAGCCUGAAAAAGACCUAGGAACAUAUUGUUUCUGUGGGGUGAGGAGCAGCAGGCAGAUGCUUCGCAAGCCAGGUCCAAUGCAUGGAAGUUUCUUCUUUGGAUGUGGGAAUUGGACUGCAGCUAGGGGUGCACUUUGCUCAUAUUUUGAAUGGGCUACUUAGUGACUUGAGUGAAAGGAUAUCUAUCCUUACCUGUGAAAGCAAAAAUGAAAAUUAAAAAAAGAAAAAAAAGGGGGAAAAAAAAGGGAAAGAAAGAAAUGAAUGACAAGAGAGGGAAGGUCUCCUAUGAAAGCAAUGCUGGUGUUCGCUCAUUCAUGAGGUUGCUGCUUCUUACAUUUGAUACUGUAGCCUCCAAAGGGGUGUCUGUUCAUAGAAUCUUUGAGAAGUCUAAUAGGAAGAGGGAUCUCUAACUUGUAAAGCUGACUUCUGGUUGGCAGAAAAGCGGGAGGAUAUGGAAUAGGAAAUGCUUACAUAGGAGAAUGGUUUUCACCAUGCCAGGACAUGGUUUUAAACUUCUUAAAUAAUCUUGUUAAAUAGGGAUAAUGUGUUUUAUCUAUGGUUUUAGUGGGAAUGAGCUGCCAUUGAUUGCGCUCCUUUUCCCCUUCAAGUUUCUAUUCUAUGUUUCUAUUGUUUCUAGAUGCCAUCUCUAGGGGAUGAUCUUCAUUCAUGUCGUCCAUCUACCUUCACUGGCGCACCUCCCAUCGGUAGUUUACAGCUAUAGUUAAGUUGGCUACCACCAAAAUUUAGGUAAACAUUUGCUUCAUGGAUAUAGUCUGAUUCAUUCAUUUGUUCAUUGUUUUGGGUUAGGGUGAUUCCCAAUUUAGAGCUAUGUUGAUGCAUGUUCACACCAAGAUUGAAUUAACCAGCUUUUGAAGCUUCUGCUUACAUUUGCCUCAGAACUCAAAUCUGCUGUCUACCUUUUUAUUGAUGUGAUGAAAUCUCACAGUUUUUGCAUUGUGUUGUUUUUGUACUUGGAUUCAUAGAUGAUGAUGAUGAUGAUCAAUAUGAUCCCUUCCCUUUAUUUUUUGCUUUGAAAUUUCAUGCUUUCUGGAUUUCAUUCAUUGGGCUUUCUUUUGAUUGAAUAUAGAUUGAAUGACAUUUUUAUAACUGCAGUGCAGUGUUAUGUACUUUGUGAAUGAAUUAUCAUUUGAUUUAUAACUCCCAACCUUUAGUAAAACUUAAUACUUAUUUCUUAAUGAUUUAAGUUAAAUUAUAUUUAAGUUGUUGAUUUAAAAUUUAUCAUUUAAUUCUUAUUUUUAAGUAUUAAGUUUCUUUGAUAAAAUUAAUUUAAAAAUUUUAUUUUGAAUCAUCAAAUUGACAUAUUUAUCCUCAUAAAUUAUAAUUAAGAUAAAUGAGGUCGAGUAACAAUAGAAUUUGUGGAGUAGCAAAAGGGAUCGUGGAGAUAAUUAUGACAGAUAAAAAUAAAAAAGUAAAAUAAAAAUGUGGACUUGAUAAUAAGUUAAUUGUUUUUACUUAUUAUUUAAAGAUAUUUUUUUUACUUUAAAUUAUAUUAUUAAAUUAUGUUAUCAAACAUAUUUAAUUUAUUUAAUGAUUUAAAUUAAAUUAUUAAGUCACUUUAAGUUAGUAAGAGCUCGAUUGACAAUGAUUUUAGGAAAUAUUUUUAAUUUUUUUAAUAUUUAAUUUUUUUUUUAUCAUUCAAGUGUUGAAUAGAUUAAAAACGUUUUUUAGAAUUACUAUGAAACGCAAAAGUUGAUUUCCCUACCACCCACAAAUCGGUAGUUGAUCAUUAGGGAAGGCUAAUAUGAUGGUGGUGGUGUAAUUUUUUAUUAGAGUUCUUGCAGCUCUCUCACUUUCUUUGGACUUAGAACUUACUAUUUUUGAAUAUUUUAUUUAUUUCUUUUUCAUUAGAAAGAUUUAUAAUUGCAUAUGAUGUUGCUCUAUUUGCUUCUUAUCGUAACACCUAUCUAGCAAUUGUGGUUUAUUUAUUAUUCCUGUUUUUUUUAACACAAAUUUAAUAUUUUCAAUUUUUUAAAGAAAAAUAAAGAAUAAUUUUGAUAAAUUUGAAAACAUAAAAAAGGAAUAAAAUUAUAUAAAAGAUUUAUGGAUCCAUAAUAUAAAAGAAAAACGAUUCAUAUAUAUUUUUAAACUUGGAUCACCAAAAAAAUUGUAAGUGUACAUGUGUGAAUUAUUUGAAAAAAUUAAGAUAAAUAAGAUUUUCAUGAAUCAAAAUCAAGAAAGUUUAUUCAAAGCCAAUUGUCAUAUGAUUAUCCAAUGACUUAUUUGGAUGAAAAGAAAUUUUAAAAAAUUAACUCAAUCUCAAUCAUAAUUCAUCAAACAAUCCAUAUUUAAUCACUUAAUCUCCUAAAUAUCAAAUUCUAACAACAUUCAAGUGUGCCUCGAAUCAGGGUUCAAAACAUCGUCCGAGUCGUAUUCGCCUCAACACCAGUUGUGAUGAGUUCGAUACCCGAUAUACUUUUUACCUAGACUCGACCUUAAAUCGGUUGGACUCGGAUGACUCGACUGGUAUUCCAAGUUAACUUGGUCGACUUGAAAAAAAAAAAAAAACUAAUCAAUAGAUUCCAUGCAAAAGAAACCCAUCACAACAAUAAUCAAAACUUUAAGAGAAAUUAGAGAUUCUUCUGCACAAGAAAACCCUUGAAAAUUUUGAAACAAACCCGUGAAAAUUUGAAACAAACCCGUGACCAUUUCAAAAGCCUUUAAAAAGAGACACGGUUGAAGAAUAACUUACUUAACCCUAAAUCCACCAUUGCCAGAGUGUAGAUUUUUCAUCUUUGGUGCACUACCGAUGCCGCAAUGGUGACUGGAUGCCGGCAAGGCAACCCUCCUCCAUUCGAUAGUCCGAUUGUGGUUGUGUGGUAGCAGUGGGAAGGUCCGAGUCGUCUGAGAGGCUGCAGAUCGUGAUCAUCGUGGUGUGUUGGGGAAGAAGAUAGUGGGCAAGGGUUCUUGGGGAAGAAGCUAGCAGAUGAUAAAUGUAAAGUUUGAUUUACCUUAUUUAAAUCAAAACACCCCUAUAAUAUAUUUUGAUUCAUUACUUUAAUUUAGGAAAGAUAAGAGCUGGUUGAUGGGUCAUUCUAUCGCUCUUUUCCAUUUGUUCUACCUCUACAUGAUUUGAUUAUUGGGUUGCACUCCUAGCUUGCCAUGUCCCAUGGACUUUGUCUUUGGCCCUUGUGGAGACAUUUUUGUAUUUUACUUUUGGAUAAAUUAUAACUGUGAUAUCUACGGUUUUAAAAUGUAUAUACAUGUAAAAAAGAGCUCAUAAGUAUAUAACACUAAUUUUUUUUUCCUUAUUCAAUGUGAAAAAUCAUAUGUAACGUCCACAUGCCCAAAUCAUAUAAUUUUUUUUUAUAUAUAUUAAUUUAUAGUAAAAAAUUCUACAAGAAAUUGUUAUUUAAUAUAACCUAUUUAACAUUUGGUUAUAUUUUAAGAUUAUUAUUAUUUAAAAAAGAAAAAAGGGUUUGCAUGAGUGAAAGUAUAGAAAUGACUUUCAUAAUUUACAUAAAAAUUUAAGUUGAAGCCAAUAUCAAAAUAUUCUAAAGGAAUAAUAUUAAUAUUAUAUGAGUAAACUUAAAUUAUUCUCAAAAUAUAUUUUUUUAAAUAAUUUUUAAAACAAAUACCAAUUUAUAAUAACAUAAUUCACAUCUUUUUUUUUUGGGACAAUUGUGUUUUGGAUGUAGUUGGGUCCAAAAAUUAAGUUUUGGUCCAUAUAAGUUUAUCAUUUAAGCCCAAGACCUAGAGGAAGUGUGAAAAUUGAGAAGAAGGAUAUGAAUUUUUUAUCUUUCCAAAAAUGACCUUUAUUGACUAUGAAAAAAAAAGAGUAGAAAAACAUUAAUUUAAAUUUUAUUCCUUUUGUAAACCUCAAUAAAAUUUAAUUUAAUUUAGUGAUUUGGAAAAAAAUACACCAUUUUCCAAAAAAAUAAAAAUAAAUUAUUAUUAUCAUUAUUAUUAUUUAAAAAUCAAACAUCUUGAAAAAUAUAUAUAUUUAAAAUUAUGUAUGUAAAAAAUAACUAAAAAUAGGUCAAAUUUAUUUUUUUUAAAUGAUAUAUUUUUAGAAUAUAUAUAUAUUUUUAAAAAAUUAGUUUUCUAAAAAUAAUAAAUUUUUAGAAUAAUUAUUAAAAAAAUUAAGAACAGAAAGUUUGUCGAACAUUGUGGUAAAAAAUACUCAAAAUAGUUUUAAAGGGUAUAUUGGUCUUUUCACAUUUUAUAUCAUUCUCAUCAAUUAUGCAACUUAUAUGGGCCAAAUCUUAAUUUUUGAGCCCAACUGGGUACAAAACACAGUUGUCCUUUUUUUUUUUUUUGUUUAUUUCAUUUUCUAUCUCAAAAUUUUAUCAUUUUAAAAUUUUUUUCUCUAAACAAUAUUUUGUAUUGUUUUUAAACAAAUAAAAAUUAGGUGACUCGGCAUGACCAGGCAUGCUAAGUGUCACACCCCUGAAUAUCUCAUUGAAUUUUUCACGAGUGCGCGUUGCUAAGGACCCUUCCUUAGCCAACAUUCCUUUCUAGCGUUUAGAAAAUAGAGUAAAACACAAAAAGAACAAAGCAACAGGGACACACACGAGGUUACCGGAAUCCUUUCCCAACUUGUAUUAUUUCACUAUUACAAGACAAAAUUGUUUUCUGAACCAGAGUACAAUGCUCUCACCCAAGCAUACGAGAAGGAACCCUUUUCCCAAAACUCUCACUCUCUGUUUCAAGGCUGUAGGAGCCUUUUUAAAAGACUCAAGCUGCAGUUACAAAUUUGAAUUUCCCAAUCCAAAUCUUGGAGCCAACUUUGGUGGUUAUGCAACUGGCCAGAACCGCCCUCAACUGCCCUGCAUAACCACCCACCACCUAGAUAGUGGCUUGUACAUGCCACCCACUUACACCAGCCGUCAUCUCUUAGCCAACUGCAAGUCAAAUGACGGCUUGACUUGGUCACUGAGCUAGUUGCACUAUCAUAUCCUCAGGUCUUGCUCGCCAAGUUGUUGGUGAGUCCCCCUAACAAGACGACCCCUCCCCCGUAAGGUGCCUCUUGUGACCGGGUGCCCAUCAGCAUGUCUUUGAUCAAGGCCCUCUAAGCCAGGCAGCGUGCACCAAUCAUCUGACUAAGCAUCUGGUGCAUUAGUGUGCCUUCCCCACACUGAUGUGUGAGCCUGUGCUAUGUUUAAGUGCCCAUAGCUUGGGCUUGUUGCUUGCUUCUCAGCUUCCUAGCAACGAGCCAUGACAUUGCGCCCAUGGCUGAUCCCUCUUGGUGCAUAAGGCAUUGCGCCCUUGUGCUGUGCGUAGGCAUCUUGGUGCGAGUCAGUUAUCGCUUGGAGCCAUCAGACCAUGGCAUUGCGCCCAUGGUUUCAUCAGCUGGCUCACCGCACAAGGCUUAGGCGCCCUCCUGCCUACGCGGGGAGGGGGUAGGCCGUACCAGGCCUCGUGCCGUUGCGGCCACGGGGUGCACACCACACAUGUCGUGGAGCCCAUGUGUGCGUGCUUGAGUCGCGUCGUGUGUCUUAGGCAUGUCCAAGGCCGUGCCAUGGUGCCCCCUUGGUGCGGUCAAGGCUUCUCUUGGUGGCUCCCUCCUUUGAGUCACCUACCCCCCCUUAAAGAGCAUUACGGGUCGUUUUCAUUGUUUCUUAAGGAGACAUCAAUAUGUCUGAGGAGACAUAAUGGAAUAAUAAUUUUAAUUUAUAAACUAAAAUUCCAAGUUCCUCAACCUUCAUCUGCACCACCUAAGUCAGGUGCGCGUGCGAUGCUCAUCUGGUGCACACACGGUGCAUGUCUGGCUCGCCCACAGUGCGCACGCGGUGCGCGUUUGGCCCACUCGCGGUGCGUAUCUGGCUCGCCCGUGGUGCGAUCGCGGUGUGCGUCUGGCUCGCCCAUGGUGCGCGUCUGGCUUGCCUAUGGUGUGCGCGCAGUGCUCAUCUAGCUUGCCCACGGUGCACGCGCGGUGUAUGUCUGGCUCGCUUGCGGCCUCCUCACAUGGCUUUUGGAGUUUAAACCACCAAACUUCUAGGAUUUCCUUACUUUCAUCCUAGGGUCUCAUAGGUGCAAGGCCUACCCAUGAGGCCUAUUCCUCCAUGGUUAAGUCAAGGGGCUAAGGGGCUGACCCUAAGCCUUUAGUAUGCUUAAUUUUGUCGCACCAGGAAUAUUUCUUGGAUGGGCCAACCUGACUCAACCCAAUUUGUAGCUAUUAGGGUAUAACCUAGAAGGUGACCCACCAAGCCUAUUGAAAAUUAGGGCGUUACUUAAAGGUAGAGGGCCUAUAGGCUUUUAAUAUUGAAUUUACAAUUUAAAAUAAUUCAAUUGGCAUCUACUUAACUAUGUUUGGUUACAAAAAAUUUAAAAGAAAAUGUAACAUAAAGAAAUAUAUAUAUAUAUAUAUAUAUAUAAGAAAAAAUAAAGAAAUAUAAAAAAUAUAAUAAAGUUAAUAAAUUAUUUUUAUAUAUUAUAUUAAAUUCAUUUCACCUUUUUUUUUUAUAAUAAAACCAAAUAUGAAAAAAAAAAUCAUUUUUAUUUUAUUUUAUUUCCUUAAUGUUUUGAUUUUAUUUUAUAAUAUUCUACAAUUAAAUUACAAUGGGAAAUCAAUAAUUAUCAAAACAAACUUUUUUAAAAGAUUUUUUUUUAUAAAAAUAAUAAUUUAUUUAACUAUUAUUUAUUUUAAUUAAAAAAACAUAUAAAUAAGUGGAAAACAAAAUAUGAUAAACUUAGGUGAGAUCGUGUUUAUUGUUUUUUUAGUAGAAUUUAUUUUUAUAUGGCAAUAAUAUGAAACAUAUAAGUGAGUGGAAAAUUGAAUAUUAUAAUUCUUAUAUAAAUGUGUUUAUAUAUAUUUAAUUUGAAAAGUAAGUUGUUUUACUUUUAUAGAUGGUUAAAUGGCCUAUAAAUGGUUAAAUGGCCUAUAUACCAAAUUGGAAAUACAUAUUUGGAAGAUGAGGUGCAAGAGCUUGAGGUAUAUAUAACAACAUUGAAGGCUAAAUGGCCUAUAUAUGGGUGCAAUCAUGUGUGAUGGUUGGAGUUGUAGGACUAAAAAGCCUAUCAUCAAUUUCAUGAUUUAUUAUGAUAGAAGUAUGAUAUACCAUUCUUCAGUUGACACUACCAACUUACCUAAGACAACAUACUACAUCUUUUCCCUUAUGGAUAAAGUUGUAGAGGAGGUUGGGAAGGAAAAUGUUGUUCAAGUAGUCACUGAUAAUGAGGCAAGUUUUAAAGCAGCCGGUAUGUUGUUGAUGAAGAAGCGGAAGCAUUUGUUUUGGUCUCCUUGUGCAGCCCACUGUAUUGAUUUAAUGCUUGAAGAUAUUGUAAACAUGAAGUAGAUUAAGGAGACAUUAGAUCAAGCUAAGAUGAUCACAAGAUUUAUUUACAAUAGCUUGAAAUUAGUGAAUUUGAUGAAAGUGUUCACCAAGGAUAGAGAUCUGUUAAGGCCAGGAAUAACCCGUUUUGCCACUGAAUUCAUUUCACUUGAGAGUCUUAUACGUUAUGAGGUUGAUUUGAAGAGAAUGUGUACAACAAAUAAGUGACGUGAAUUCAAUAAAGAUAGGAGCAGAAAAAGUCUAAGAGAUGAGGUAUCCAACCUUAUAUUAACUGAUCGAUUUUGGAAGAAGGCAGGGAAGUUCAAACCAUCAUGGAACCUCUCGUCAAAGUAUUGAAAUUGGUUGAUCAAGAUAAAAAAGCCACAUUAUCAAUCAUUUAUGAAGCAAUGGAUAGAGCUAAAUUGGUUAUCAAGGCAUCAGUCAAGCAAUGGGAAAAGUAUUGGGAAGUCAUUGAUAGAAGGUGGGAAGGUCAAUUGCACAGACAUUUGCAUGCUGCAGGUAAUAAAAAAAUUCUUUAUAUAUUUUUUAUUAUUUUUUUAAGUACAAAUUAUUAUAAACUGAUCAUUAUUUAACUUAUGACAACAUAUUUUUUAAAUCCAAUGUUCCAAUAUUCAAAACAUUUCUCCAACCAUCCAGAAAUUAAAGUUGGAUUAAAGAAGGUUAUCAAGAGAUUAGAGCCAGAUUUGGAUAGACAAGCAAAAGCUAUUGACGAGGUAUAAUAAUAGUUUGUGAUAUUUAUAUAAUGCAUUUUGUAUAUGUAAUGUGCAUUAACAAAAAAAAAUGUUAAUGAUGUAGGUGAAAUUAUUUAUUGACGACCGAGGAGAAUUUGGAAGUGCACUUACAAAGAACGCAAUAAAUCAAUCUCUUCUAGGUACUCAAUACAUUUACAUUUAUUACAAAUAAGAAAUUAUCAUCAUUUUUUGUUAAAUAUAUCAUAGUGAUUAAUAAGUAUGCAUUUUCUUUAUUAUAGUUGAAUGGUGGAACAACUAUGGCGACGAAGGUCCACAUCUACAAAAGAUUACUGUUAAAAUUUUAAGCCAAACUUGUUCUUCAUUAGGUUGUGAAAGAAAUUGGAGCACAUGGUCAUUGAUUCACACAAAGUUGCGCAACCGUUUGGCAAUAAAAAAGUUGUAUCAGUAGUUUAUGUGCACUAUAAUAUGCGACUUCGAGUUAAGAAUUUGAUGCAAGAGCUAAACAAUGAAGAUUUAUACAAUCCAAUUGAUUUGAAUCAUAUCUUUAAUGAUGAUGAUAUAUUAGAUGAGUGGAUACAAGAAGGAGAGGAGCUUAUUUUAUCAUAUGAUAAUUUGGAUUGGUUGGAUAAAGGUCUUCCCACUAAUGAAGAAGGUAGAGAAACAGUUCAUGAAGAUGAUGGUGCCACAAAUCGUAAAGUUAGUAGGCGUACAAGUAAUGCUACACAAGAAAGAGAUGUUGAUUCCCGUUGUAAAGGUAAGACUCCUAGAACAAUUUCUUCAAGUUUUAGUAGUGAUGAUGGUGACAAUGGGGGCAAUGCGCGGGGUGGUGGCACUAGUGGGGCAAUAGAGGAGUUGGUGGUACUAGUGAGGGUACUAGAGGAUAUGGUAGCACUGAGGGCGGUUAUGUUAGUCAAGUAUAUCUUAACAUGUCAUGGGCACAAGGAGGUGAAAAUUACUAUGCCACACAAGAUACAGAUCAUGGAUAUCGACCAGGGAUAUGGGAACAACGAAAGCAUUUGGAAAGACUAACUACAUUUCCCAGCGAUGAUGAUUAUUUUAGUGGGCAUGAUUAUCAUAGAUCAAAUUAUCACCGUAUUGAUGAGCCCUUAUAGAAUUUGGGUAUAGGAUCAAGGUCAUAUUUUAGAGGGGUAGAUGAUAGAUCAUAUCACAACUUUAGAGACCGUGAUAGCUCUUUCAGUACUUUUAGUAGAAAUGAUUUUGAUCGAUUUCCAAUGAUACAUCCAGAGGGAUAUUCAAAUACUAGAACACGAGCUUGUGAUUCAUACGGAUAUGAUCAAUCUUCUAGUAGUAGUAGCAUUGCUUAUUGAGGUUUUAUAUACUAUCAAUAUGGUGUUGAUCCCGAACAACCUUUGAAACCAUAUUUUCCUUAUUAUGGAUCGUCAAGCCAAUCAUCUGAGCCAACAUAUUCGAGUUAUGAACAACUCUUUGAACCAUAUCAUCACUACAAGAAUUGCCACCCAAUUUGUAUACUCGUCAUAGGACUAAUGAUGAUGAUUUUGAACCCUCUUAUCAUUCAACAUGGAAUUGAUUGUUGUAUGUUUGUUAGUAAAAAUGUUAUUAUAUUUGAAAUAAAAUAAUUUUCUUUUGUUAGCAUUAUUAUAAAUAACUUUGAGCAGAUACUUUUAUAACUAUUUAAAUAAUGUUAAAUGUGAGACAAUUUUAUUUUAUUAAUUUUUUGAGCUUAUUUAAUUGUAUAUAUUUUUAUGAUGAUUUACAUAAUAUUUUUAUAAUUUUUUGAAUUUUCUAAUUAACUUAUUUUAUGUAUCUCCCGAUACUAAACCGAUAUGCCUCGGGAACCUUCGAGUCAGUGACCGAUAUUGCAACUUUGAACCAUGGCCCGAAUUGUCCACACCCAACCUAAACUAGCAUGUAUUCAAAAAAUUAUAAAAUGAGAAAGGACCUAAAUAAAGAAGAAAAUGUAAAGUAUAAGUUAAUAAUAAAAAAAACUUAUAUCAAACUAAAGUACAAACCAAACAUAAAAUACCCAUUCUACCAUUAUAUGAAUAAAACACUGAUUCUCUCAAUAUCCUUCAUAUUAUUAAUUCAAAUUUUAUGUGAGCAUUUAUAGUAAGAUCAUUGAAAUUUUUUUAUUCAACGGAUCACACUUUAUUACCUUUAGCAUGCAUUUUCAUUAAAGAAAUUCAAUCUUUCUAUUAUAUUUUCUAUUGAAUUCCAAUAUUUAUAAAAAAAAGAAAGAAAGUCAUAGUACCUCAUUUUCUAUUAGAUUUCAACACCUAUUUCCAUAAAAAAUUCAUUCUCUACAUCUCAUUUUCCAUCACAUUUCAACAUGCAUUUCCAUAUAAAAACUUCAAUCAAUAUAUUCAAUUUCUAUUGAAUUCUAACAUGUCUUUUUCAUAAAAUAGAAUAAUAACAAAAAAUAAAAUAAACAGCCACUGCAUUUUAAUUUUCAUUGAAUUUCAAUUUUCAUAUACAACCCCGUUAAAUCUCAAUUUACUUUAAUUAAAUAAAUAAAAACACAAGCCAUUAUCAUGAUCACAAUUGGCUAUAUUGAUUUAAUCCAUAUAUGUCUCAUUGAAGAAAAUUCCCAAUCAAAGACCAUUAAUAAUGAUUCUCCAAAAACUAGCUGAGCAUAUGCAUGAUCCACUACACUGAUUUUUAAUUCUAUCAUUUGGAACUUAAAUCUUUAAAGAACCUUUGGGCAAAUUUGGAGGUGAGGAUGAUGGUGGGGUGGGGGUGACGGUGUGGCCAUUAGCAGUGGUGGUGAGUAGCAGCGUAGGUGGGAAGGGAAUGAGGUGGGGGUGACGGUGAUGGUGUCGCCGUUAGUGGUGGUGGUGAGCAGUGGCGUAGGUGGGAAGGUAGUUGAUGGAUGAAGGAAAAAAAAAUGGGUAUCUUGUUGAUGGUUUAUGCAUGGUUUUAAAGUGUGCUUUUCGGCAGCUGGGAAUGGAGCUGUUGCAUGGGAUACUAUGGAUUAAUGUAGCUACCAAAGGCUAGGGUCAACUAGAUGUAUGGUUUUUAUUAAAGUGCAUCAAAUUGUCUAACAUAUAGAAUUAGUUAUCAAAGCUUAUAAAUGACAUAUUUGUUAUAAAAGUAAUUAUAUUCUUAAAGUAUAGAUUUAAUAGUGAUAUAUAUAUAUAACUCAAAUCUUUACUUCAAUUUAUGAUUCAAUAAGUAUUGGGAAUUUUUUUUUCAUUUUUUUUAUCCAUAUAUAUAUUAUCUGAUAUGUUUAUUUUUAAAAGAAAUAAUCCAUAUUAUUUUACAUUUGAAGUGUGAUGAUACUUGUAGUAACUUGAAUUUAUUUUUAUUUUUAUUAUUAUUAUUAUUUUUAUAAUAAUGAAAUUUUUAUUAUUUAUUAUUUAUUUUUGGUUCAUGAACUAUUUAAAAGAAAAUUAUUUUGGCAUGUUCGUUACCUAAAAGGAACAACUUAUUUUAUCUUAUAUUUUUAAGACGUGGAUUUAAUAUUUAUAAAAAACUCUAAGUUUCAUUUCAAUUUAUGGUUGAUGAUAAUUUUAAACAAUCAGAGAAUCCUAAACCACAAAAAAUAGAAGUUCGUGUGAUCACAUCAAAAUUUUAUAGUUUAUUCUCCAAGAAGCUCCCAAGGAAGAAUUAGAGACUACAAGUCGAUGAAUUACAAUGAUUUACUUGGAUAGUAGCCUACAUGUGUUGUGGGCAAAAUGAAGGGUCUACAGGAAUGUUUGAACACUUAACAAGAAGCGUUCAAACACAACACCCAAAUGCUCCUAGUAGGGUGUUCAAACGCUAAUUGUAUAUUUUGCUCAAUUUUGUUUUGAUUUUAUGUUUUUAGGGGUAAUUUGGUAAAAUUAAAGGUUUAAAUAUAUUUGAAAAUUAGACCAAAGUUUUCUUAAGUGUAAAAGAAUCACUUUGUUGGAAUUUUGCAACCUUUGUGAAGAUAGUCAUUCAAUAAAUUUGUGCCUUCAUUUCUUGAAGCUUUCAAGAUCAUGCUUGAAAGUAUCAUUUGACUACAACAAAUGUUUGUGAUUCAUUUUAUGUAAAGAGCUUUGAUAGAUCCAUUAAGGAGUACAUGGAGUAUUGCAUUGAGAAUGUGGUAAAAAAGUAUAAGCGUUAACACUAUAAGACCCUGGGGGAGUAGUCCGGUCAAAGAAAAUCGUGUGUACUAUUUUAUCAUAUUUAAUGGGUUAUUAAACGAUUGAAUGACCAUAUGUGGUUUUCUACAUGAAUGUUAGGUAGUUUUUUCACAUUAUAUCCUAUAUUUAUUCAUGUGAUUAAAUUUUCUUUUGUACGAGGAUUCAUUAAUUCUUACUCAAUAUUGAUAUAACUAAUAAAUAAAACUAAAAAAGUUAAGAAAUUAAUUUCUUAGUCUAUAUAUUCAUCCCUUUUAGGUAGUUUCAUAUCAAGAUAUUAAAUUCUUUUAGAAGCUCUAACUAACCUCCUUAGGUGACCACGAUGGGUGAAGUACAAGAUUGACACCAACAACAACCAUUGAUUGUUCUUUUUCCAUUUGAAAUUUUAGAACCCUUUCUCUCACAUGGAUAACUCUAUUUCUUUCUCCAGGCUUUUGAUUGUUUGAACUCAAUAUUUACUAUAAUAAAAGCAAUAGUACAAACAUUCAAAACCCUAAAGAGAGAAAUACAAUUACCUAAGAGAGAUUUUUAAAAUCCAAAAAGGAGAAAAAACAAUAAAUGAUCUUUGUUGGUGUCUGAUCUUAGAGUUCCCCAAUAGUAGCCACCUAUGAAGCUCAGCUAGUGCAUAACUACGGGUUAGAGAAAAUGAGAAGAGGGAGAAGAGGUGGAGGUUAUGAUUUAGGGGGCUUGAGAUUAGGGUUUGUGAGUUUAAGAAAUGAGAGAGAGGGAGAAGAAAUAGAGAUUAAGGUUUGUGGGUUCACAAAAUUGAGAGGAAAGGAGAUUUAGGCUAUGUUUGGUUCCCGAAAAAUCUGAGGGAAAAUGCAAAAGAAAGAAAAUAAAAAGAAAAAAUAGAAAGAAAGAAAAAGUGAAAAAAAAUAAAAAAUAGAUUAAAAGUCGAUAAAUUAUUUAUAUUUGUUACUUUAAACACAUUUUAUUUAUUUUAAUUCAUCAAUAUAAAGAUUGAAUAAUUUAAACAUACAUGAAAUUUUAAUUAAAUUUGAUUUUCUUUUAUAUUUUUCAUAAGACAAUCAAAUAUGAAAAAAUAAUUUUUUUUUUUUUGUAUUUUUUUUCUUUCCUUAGUAUUUUCCAGGAACCCAACACAACCUUAGGUUUUAUGGGGGCUUUGUGGGAUUUAUUUCAUUUAUUUAUUUAUUUUUUAAGGACAUGUAACAAAUACCACUUGACUAAGAUAGAUGCACAAGUGAAAGACUUGGGUAAAGGGAGUAUGAAAUGGGAACCCAUAGACACAUGAAGCAUGCAUUGAAAACUCGUACAGUCGUUUACAUUUUGACAUAUUUCACUCAUGCACUCUAUUUUAUUUUUUCUACUUUGGUAUAUAAAUAUGGAUUAGUAUCAUAGAAGCAUAUACAUACCAAGUAAAAACUUCUUAUGGUCACCCACAAAAGGGGAUAUCAAUUUAGUGGUUUGCAAAAUGUUGAGAAUUCUACGGUAACAUUUUUUCAUGUGUAACCCCUCUUUUUUGAAGAGAUGAAUUUACUCUACCAAUAGUUCAGUAGAUGAUAUUGAAUUAUAAUUUUAUUCACCUCCCUCGAUAUUUAAGUUAAAUAUGUCUAACUAUCAUUAGUUUGAAAUUUUAUGAAAUAUAUUCAUUUCCUUUCUCUUUUUUCAUUUUCACUUCCCUCAUUUUAAUUCAAAAUAUGAAAGAUAUUUGAUAAAAUUUCAUAUUCACGGCACUAAAAUAUAUUUAACUCAAAUUGUAGGGAAGAUGAGUGAAAUUCAUCCCUUUACUUUUUAUAUUUUUUUCAUCUUUUUAAAAGACCACUUGACUAUUAGUAAACUCUUAUUAGUAUUUUUGUAGAACUUGUGUGACUUAUCUUUUGAAGAUAAAAGUUUGAUUUUUUUUGGGUUUCUUUUUGGAUAUUUUUUUGUAUUAUUUUAUUUUAUGAUUUUUUUAAUAAAGAAAUGUAAUAUUGAAAAGAUUUGUAACUUAAACUUAAUAACAAUACUUAUUUUAAUUCUUUUUUUUAAGUACUAUUUUUUUCUCUUAUGGCAUUUUUCUAAUGAAAAUAUAAAAGUUAUGUUUAACCUCAAAAGUUUGAGGGAAAAUGUAAGAAAAAAAAUGGAAAGAAAAAGUAGAAGGAAAUAAAAGUUGAAAAAAAUAAAAAAUAAAAUUAAAGUUUAAAAAAUAUUUUUAUAUAUUAUUUCAUAUUUUUUUUCGUAUAUUUAAAUCUUUUAUAUAAAAAUUGAAUAAUUUAAAAAUAUAUAAAUUUAUUAAUAAUUUUAGUUAUAAUUGACUUUUUUUUUAGAAUAAAAUCAAAUAUGAGAAAUUUUUUUUUGAAUAUUAUUAUUAUUUUUCUAGUAUUUUACGAGAAUCAAACAUAAUUUUAGAGUUAAAUUAAUAAUGAUUUUAGGAAAAUGAAAAGAAACUAAUAUUAUUUAGAUUGAAUAAAUUUUAGAAAGAGAAUAUAAAUUUCCAACAAUUUUAUUUUUUAUUUAGAAUGGAUUUUUUAAUUUAAUAUUAUUUUCAUUUAACGAAAAACGACAGUUAAACGGCGUCGUUGUUUGCUGACUGAAAGAUGGUGGUAGGAAAAUAAUUGGAGAGGAGCCGAACCUACUAAAUUACUAACUGCAUCUCAGUGAUUUGAUUCGAUUUGAUUUUAGUAGAAAUUCAACGUACACGGCCUCAUCCUCUUCCGUCUUCUUCCCAUCUCAACUCCAUUUUGUUCUCUGCUGCCAACCCUAAGCCAUGGAUUCACUGCUCGCGUAUCAGCUCCUUCGCAUCCUAUCCCUCACUCUUCUUCUCUCAUCGUUCUCUCGUAUCUCUAAAUCAAGUGAGGUAAUUAAAAAUUCUUUCUCAUAUGAUUUCUUUGCUUAGUCUCCGUUUGCUUUCCAACAAAAUUUAAGGAAAGUUUAACGACAGAGUGGGUUUUGAAUCUUUUGUGUUUCUUUUUUCUGUGAGAAAAUGGAAGCAUCCACUUCACUGAGCUUACUCGAUUCAGUGAUUUUUUUUCCUAUUAAUUUUAUAUUGUUGAAGGAGAAGUAUGGUUGUAUUGGGCUCUGUUUGGGUACCAGGAGACAGAAAGGAAAAGGAACUUUGAAGAAUCUCAAACGUUGAAGAAUUUAAUGGUUGUAUUGGGCUUUGUUGGUUAAAUCAUGUGGAUGUGGAUGUGGUUGUGUUAAGUUUCAUACUUUGAAGAAUCGAAUAUUGAAGCUUUUUUCUUUGUUCUUUUUUUGGAUAUUUUAUUGCAUCCAAACUGAGGAUUAGGGUUAAUACGGAAUUAGGAUGUGAUUGUUUACAGUUUUGUGAUGCUGGAACUGGAUUUGGUGAUUCUGGAUGUGUAGUCUCGUCGAAGUCUGCAUCAAAGCUGUUAAUCAAGGGAGGAACUGUUGUGAAUGCUCAUCAUCAGGAGAUUGCUGAUGUUUAUGUAGAGGAUGGGAUCAUUGUUGCUGUGAAGCCUAAUAUUAAGGUAAUUCAUAAAGUAAUUUAUUUAAUCCAUUGUCUGUUGUGUUUCAUUGGUUGAAUUUGAUCCAAAAAUGUUAAAUGAGUUGCUCAGAGAGGGCUAAUUAGCUCUAGCAUGAAACUUGAUUGGAUUGCCAUGAUGAGGGCUUUUAUGUACUGGAUUUGACAUUUUAAGAUUCUUUAGAAAAUUCAAAUUUCAUGGGAGAAUGGUGGGGUAGAAUGGUUGUUGUGGAGUCUAGUCAUCUAAGUUGUCAAAAAAUCUUGGAUUAUUCCAAAAAUAUUCAGAAACUAUCGCUAUCCUUAUCAAAGGAAAGGUCCAUUCUAGCAAUCUAAAAAACAAACAUGUGGAGCAGAGACAGACACGCCCUUUCAUUUUUUUUUUAAUUUUUUUAUUAUUAUUAUUCGUGCAUAUCCCAAAUGUAAAAAAUACUUCCCAAUAGAAAUUAUUUGUAAAAUUCCUAAAUUACUCUAUUUAAUUAUUGAAUGAUACACACAUGCCUUUUGUUUUCUCAACAUGCAUAUAUUUUCCUAGUUGCAAAUUCAUUCUCAGAUUCUCUCCAUGCUAUUCCUGAUGUUUGCUUCAGCUAGCUCCCAAAUUCUGAACCAUUUGAAUGCCAAAAGUUCUUGAAUUCCCAAUUGUCAUUCUGGUCAUUGAUUUAUUUGAUGGUUUGGUAAAGCUGUUAAGCAUGAUUCUAUUUUUAAAAUCAGAAAAUAGUACUAACUUUUAUAUAAAGUAUAAGAACUCUUAGAGGUUUACAUUGAAAAAGUAAUGGUUUAAAAACAAUUUAAAAAAAUUGAGGUAUCAAAAAAAUUUUAUUGCCUCAAAUUUAAAAAUUUUUAAAAGUGAUUUUUAAAGACAUAAGAUAAAUAUACUUUUUAUGCAAGAGGCUCUACUUUUUAUAUAAAACUUAUUACUAUUUUCUGAUUUUAAAAACAAAAAACAGGAAGUGUAACUAAAUGGACUUUUAACUGUUGUGACAGUAGAAUAUGGUGAUAGAUAAAUAUACUUUUUAUACAAGAGGCUCUACUUUUAAAUUAUAAGCUGAAUCUGAUGUUGAUAGAUAAAGGAUUUUUUUUUCCUCUAUGUGAAUGGAUGAUUAAAUGGAAAAUGGGAAUUUUUUGUUAAAAUUUAUAUAAACAGCUCUUAGUUUCAAGAAGUUGAUCUUUGUCCAAGGAUAAAACACAACUGCUUCAAGAGGUCAUCCAAAUUAUGAAUGCUUCACCUACUUUUCUUAUUCAAAGUGAGCAUACUUCUGAUAUAUAAUAUAUGUAUGUGUUCAUGUAUGUUAUACAACUUAUAAAAAUUUUGUUAUUAGGUGCAGACCUAUUUAAAUAAAGAACUAGUAUUUUCUUUUUGAAUAAACUAUAGUUCAUUGAGAAUAACAAGAGAGAAAUCAGAAAACUAGCAAGAUAUACUAAUGAAAGACAAACUGGAUUUACAGAACAGAAAAGAUCAAGAAAGGAAUAGCUAGAUAGGGAGCAUGAAGUUGUUAUCCACCAGAAUAAAGUUCUAAGAAAUGCUUUGUUUAACUUAAAAAUGAGAUCUAUUUUUAAAUAUUUUUCUAUUUCUAUUCUCUAAGAAAUCUCCCUAUUUGUACAGCAAGGGCACUGAUCAUUGGAUAGUCCUGGUGUAUCGGUGAUCAUAUUUUGAAGCCUUAUUUUACAACAUUGGUCCUUCACAGGUCAUCACAUCAUCAAGCAAAAAUCAGAAUAGAGAAAGCAUGAAAACCCAAUGCUCUCUAGCCAUCAACUAGUGAAGAAAAUGAUGACCGAUAGAUCAAGUACCAUAUCUACAAAUGCAAUGUUGACUUGAAAUAUGCUCCAAUCAAGAUGUUAAAUCUCUUUGCCAAAUAGAGAAAGAACUAUGCUUUGGAUGGAGCCAACAGGCACCAAGAUUUUUAUCUGGAGCUCUUUAUCAAUAAAAUGUUUAACUGUGAAUUUACCAAUAUGAUUCAUUUCUCCAUCAUCAAUCCUAUUUUUCCCUCUAAGCUCAAAUUCUAACACCAUUUCCAAGUUCAAUCACGAAAUGCUUCAUAAAACUAGGCUACUACAUCUUCUCUGCCAAUCACACUACACAAUCCUUGAUGCCAACCUCUUUAUUCACCACAAUUCCAAAUAGCUUUAGGAAUUUCUUCACAUGAGGGGUCUUCUACACGAUUUCCAAGUUCAAUCAUGAAAAUGCCUUACAAAACUCGGCUAGUGUAGCUCCUCCUCCAAUUUUUUUUUUUCGAUAAGUAAACACAUAUAUUAGCAAAAGGCAAAACGCCGCAUAACAUACAGGGAGUAUACGAGGCAACGCGGGCCUCACAACAAAAAGACAAAAGGAACAAAAAACCCACCGACCCUUAACUGGAGGCUAACCACUCUAAGAAACCUAUAAGGGAGCGAGGCUCCGCACCACUAUACAAUUUUACCCACCCUCACACAUUACAAACAAAAGAAUUCUUAAUUUUCUGAAUAGCUAACUCCCCCUCCUCCCCCUGAAUGCUAAUCUAUUCAUCUCCUUCCAAAUCGUCCAAAAAAUAAAUAACGGAAUGGAUCUCCAAAUUUUCUCCCUCUUUUUACCCACAAAAGAACCCUUCCAACUAAAAACCACCUCCUUUACAGAUUCAGGAAAGACCCAUUGGGCACCAAACAAACUAAGAACAAUCCCCCACAACACUCUAGCCACUGUACAAUGAAUAAGUAGAUGAUUUACAUUUUCCUCAUCACUACCACAUAAAUAACAAUGAUUAGGAAGCUGCCAUCCUCUCUUUUGAAGCCUAUCAAGGGUAAGAAUCCUCCCCCAAGUAGCUUCCCACGCAAAGAAAGCUAGCUUAGAAGGAACGUUCUCCACCCAAAUGCCCUUUUUAGGAAACAUGGAAACACUAGGGCUGAUCAUCAAACCAUACACUUCCUUAACGCCAAACUUCCCAUUUUUUCCUUCCUUCUAAAAGGCCGAGUUCUCCUCCAAGGUAAUUCUUUGACUCCUUAAAAUUUGGAGUAAUUCGCCUAUCAUGAUCAGCUCCCAAUCAUUGAAGCCUCUAAUGAUGAACCUUAGAUUUCAACCUCCUUAACCAGAAUUCUGGUCCCACAUAUCCCCCACUGUGGCGUUCCUUUAGGCAGCCGCAGAGAAGAGUUGAGGGAACCUCCGAGACAGCUCCACAUCCCCACAACAAGGGUCCUUCCAAAACCUAAUUCUGGUGCCUUUUCCCACCUUAAAAGUCGUAUUAGCCCAACACCAAUCAGCUUCUUUCAAGAUCUCCUUCCAAACCCCAACACCAAAUGCCCCAUUUGCCUUUUUAGUCCUCCACCCAAAUUCCUCUUGCCCAUAUUUUGCCACAAGAACUCGUUUCCACAUCUCGUCCUUGGCCCAAGCAAAUCUCCACACCCAUUUUCCAAGCAAAGCUUUGUUCAAGGGGACUAACUUCCUCAAUCCAAGCCCCCCCUUCUCCUUACCCACACACACCCUCUCCCAAUUGACUAGGUGGGCUUUUCUUUCCGUACUUCCCCCUCCCCACAAGAAAUCUCUUUGCAACUUUUCAAGCCUUCUUGCCACUGUCCUAGGCAUACGGAAGAGGGACAAUUGAUAUAAAGGCAUGCUAGCCAAAGUACUCUUUAUGAGGGUGACUCUACCGCCCUUGGAGAUGUAUUGCCGUUUCCAAAGGGCCGAUUUCCACCUCAUCCUUUCUUCCACCCCAUCCCACACACAAGAGGCUUUAUUGGACGCACCCAACGGCAGCCCCAGGUAAGUUGAUGGCAGCUGACCUACCUUGCAACCCAACUCCACAGCCAAUUAAAGCAAACAAUCCUCCAUAUGUGCCUCCUUAUUCAAUGCAAUGCUAAACAAUCUUAGGGAUUGUUUGACAAAAGGAGUCUUCUAUGCUAGGUGUACGUCUACUCUGUAACCAACCACUUUGAAAUUCUUGUCAAGCCCCUUCUACAGUAGCUUUUCAAAGUGCAUUUAAUGAUGUCUAACUUGCACAAAUUGACCCUCAGUUCAGAAAAUGAUAUUUGAAUUCAUCCCUAUCCCAGCCUUUGGAAUUCUUUUUUAAUUUCUUCAAGAAAGCACAAUUGGGGACAUGAAUCUGGAGAAAGUACAUACACAGUUUGUAAGCUUCUUCAUCAAAGUUACCCUCACUCAUUUAGAAGAGCAAAUCCUCUUCCAGCCACUUAGUCUUCUUUUUUCCCCUUUUAUUCAGUGCCUUAAAAACUGCUCAUACCUUAAAUACUGAUUUGUUGAUAUAUGUUCAAAUGGCUGCUGUAAUGAGCUGUAUUUCCAUAGUAGUUUGAACGAUAUGGAACCUAACAUACAUUCAUGAACUUUUACCCAUUCAAGUUUCUUCUAGCCCUUUAAUUUUUUAUCUCAGCAUGCUGGUUUCUCUUGAUGUUUCUUUCUUUUCUUUAUGCUUUCUAAUGUGCAUCUUUAUAUUUUAUUGCCAUAUCUAGGUAGGUGAUGAUGUUACUGUGCUUGAUGCCACCGGAAAGUUUGUCAUGCCAGGUGAAUUUUCACUACCAUGGUCAUAUGAUAUUUUGUGCUCAGUUUUAAAUUCUAAAUCUAAGGAGCCAUGCAAGAUGAAAGCCUCAUGCACAUUUGAAAGCCUAACUUGUGAACAAGCCUAACUUUCCAAGUCAAUGAUGGAUACUGUGACUCUGAACCAUUCUUCUAAUGCUCAACCGUAAACUCAUAAGCAUAUCUGAGCGGUUUGACUCCUCUUUGUUCUUCACUCUUCAGAUGAAACCAAAAAACCUAAAUAAAAAGAGUGAAGGAACCAGAGAGCUCUCUAGAAGAGCAGGAAAUGUCUUCCAAGGAGCGAUCAUCUCUUUCAUGCCUUCAUGCUGUGCUCAUUUUUCCAUUUCCAUAUAAGCAAUUGAACACUCAUUCAGCAUGGUAAAUCUUUUAGCUAUCAUGAUGCACUUAUUGGGCAUAUUUUGAGGUAUACCAGAGGAACAUACUGUAAUGUGAUAAGAAUCCAUUGGUUGACCCAGCUGCUGGUGAUAUUAUUCAAGUUUUUAGAAGGAAGACUGUAAAUCAGUCUUUUUUCCUUGCUAUUGAUAAGAGUAAAAUGCAUUUCCUGUUUAAUUUCUUUUAGUUUUUUACUUGUGAAAUCUAUGAAAACUCAUUAAUCAGUAAGCUACAUGACAUGUUAAAUUCGAGAGCUUAAAAUUGAAGUCCUAUGUUCUGAAGUUUUUAGUUUUAGGUCAUUUUAAUUUAAUCUGGAAGUGCAGUUCACCCAAUGAUUUGACUCCAAGGCAUAGGCGUUUGAAUCACAAGGCUAUUGCCUUCGCCAAUAUGCCUUUGAUAAUCCUUUUAUUUUGACUGGACUGUUAGUAUCAUAUUGAAGCAGCAUUUAUGCCUUGACCAAUCCAAGAGCUUAAGAGUUCUUGAUCUUAAUCAGUGAGCCUGCACAUAGCUUCACAUAGUUUUGAGUUUCCUAAUCAAUCAUAGGUUUUGGAAUCUAAAUGGCACUGAUAAACUAUUCAUUUCCUUCUCUAUCUAUUUUGAACAUAAUACAUAAAUACAGCAGAAAGAAUUAUCAUGCUGUAACCUGCACUUAGUGACUUAGUUCUUUCGUUUGUAUGCUUGCCAGAUCCUGCAAAUUUGUAUUAUUAGUGUUAUGGUUUUCCAUGAUUUCUGACUAGGAAUACAACCUUUGGAGUUCCAAUCCUUCCUCACAUGUUAUACCUAUAAAAUGUUGGUCUCUUGUCUCAUCCAUUGUGUCCAUGUGUUCCGCUUUCUUUUCAGAGUGGGUUAACCUCCUCUCUUCCCCCAUUUUCCUUAACAGAGCCUUGGAUGCAUGCCAUGGGGUUUUUGAAAUCUAUAGCUGGUAAUAAGGAGUACAUGAUUGUAUAUCAACUGUAGGUGCAAAAAGCACUAACUAUACAUCCAUCCUAGGCCUUGUAGGUGGAUUCAACAGGGUGCAAUGUGGUACGGGGAGCCAAACCCUUUAAUACUGCACUUAUUAUAAUUAAAACCUGACUUGUUGGUUUGCCAUUUUUUCCACUGUAGACUUGUUAAGUUUAAUUAGCAUGUCCAUGUCCAUGUCCAUUUCCGUCUCUAAGAACUACAUAUAUUUGAUCCAUAUAUAUUGCAACAUUAAAUUUUAAUGUUUACAGGUGGAAUUGAUCCUCACACACACCUAGCAAUGGAGUUUAUGGGUACUGAGACCAUUGAUGACUUUUUCAGUGGUCAAGCUGCUGCACUAGCAGGUGGAACAACAAUGCACAUUGACUUUGUCAUACCAGUCAAGGGCAGCUUAUCAAAGGGUUUGGAAGCCUAUAAAGACAAAGCGAAAAAAUCUUGUAUGGAUUAUGGUUUUCAUAUGGCAAUCACAAAAUGGGAUGAAAAUGUUUCAAGGGAGAUGGAAAUCAUGGUUAAGGAGAAAGGUUAGCUGUUUUUUUCAAGUUUAUUAUAAUAACUCUACAUAGAUUAUGACUUGAUCUACAUUGGCAAAUGUAAACCCCAUUUGGAUUCUUCUCUAAAUCUGUAUGAAAUCCUUACUUGUCUUCUUUUCAACUUACAGGCAUCAACUCUUUUAAGUUUUUCCUGGCCUACAAGGGGGCUCUCAUGAUCAAUGAUGAGCUUCUACUUGAGGGAUUAAAAAAAUGCAAGUCUCUUGGUGCUUUGGCCAUGGUACAUGCUGAAAAUGGAGAUGCUGUAUUUGAAGGGCAGAAAAGAAUGAUAGAACUUGGCAUUACUGGUCCAGAGGGACAUGCACUUUCAAGGCCACCCGUGGUAAUUCCUUAAAGAUGUCCAUUUUUUCUUUGACCCUGUAUUGCCCUCUGGUGUUGCACUUAUAGUAUUUUACAUCAUUAAACCUAUUUUUGAACUUUUGCAAUGGGGAAUCCAUGAUCAGCUAGUACCCUGGAUGAGUAUCCUCACCAUUGAAAGCUCUCCUUCGUUCAAACUUUUCAUUUUACCAUAUCAUUUUGUUGUACCAUGUAUGGUUGAAUUUUUGCAAUGAAUAAUAACCUAGAUUUGGAGUUCUUAGGAUCUUUCUCUCUCUCUCUCUCUCUCUCUCUCUUUCUAUCUCUCCUUUUAAUUUUGUUUUUAAAUUUUUUUAUUUUGUUUUUUUGUUUUUUUGUUUUUUGUUUUUUUUUUUUUGAUGAAUCUUGAAAGAUUUACUAAACCAAAAAUAAUGUGGAGAGAAAUACAAACAUGGGCAUUCAUUUAUUUUCUCUCUUUUCAUUCUUUUGCUUCUCUAGCAUAUUUCAGACACAUGCUGUAGGACAGAGUAUUCUGGUGGGGGAUGCAUGUCAAAGAGAUGGUAGAGAAUGUAACAUAUUAACAUAAUCCCUUGACAAGUUUACUUGUAAUGGCUUUCGGGGAGCUAGUGUUUACUGAAAUCAUUGUAUAGUAAGGAUAUUCUUUUAGUAGUUAAUACUUACUAAUUUCAGUAAACCAUAUAAGAUUAUUCCUCAGUGAAUCACUCUUUAUUCUGUUGUUCUUCUAAUUGUCUGACAGUUCUUUCCGUUUAUUUCCUGGACGUCAUGCUUUUAUAUAAUCUGUCUUUUUUUUGGCCCUUAUGCAGCUAGAAGGAGAGGCAACUGCUAGAGCUAUUCGGUUGGCCAGUUUUGUUAACACGCCUCUCUAUGUAGUUCAUGUGAUGAGCAUUGAUGCGAUGGAAGAAAUAGCUAAAGCUCGAAAAUCAGGUUUUUUUAACUCUUAUAUUUACAUUACGUGUUUGUUGUGUUAAAUUUACACCACCAUGGAGCAAAAUCUCAUGUUAUUCUUAAUUUUAUAUAAGUUCUAUCUUAAAGAUACAACCUUCUUUUAUUUUAUUUUUGGUUUUUUAGUAAUAACUUUUUGGUUCAUCGAUAUUUUGAUAUUAUAUUUGUCAGAAAAUUGGAAGUAGUAACAAGUUAACUCCAAUACUGUUUAUGUGGCUGAGUGAGAGAGAGAAUGUCUGAAAAGGUCCUGAUCUUUAUCAAAAAAGGUCUGGGCUUCCCCUAUCUUUAACAAAUGGUUCCCAACCACUUGAAAAUUCCAACUUUAUCCUUUAUUUUAUUUUUGGCUAUUUUAGUUUAUAUAUCUAUCUAUUUGUCUAUCUAUCUAUCUAUCUAUCUAUCUAUAUAUAUAUAUAUAUAUAUAUAUAUAUAUAAAUUUCAAUGGAAGGAAUAUCUUACAGUGUUAAAUUUCUCAAUAGAAAGCCUUGUAGUAGGGUAAAUAUCUUGUUAGUUGGAAGUCUUAUAAUCAUAUGGUUUACUUAGGAUUUGAGGACUGGUUUUUUUUAUUUUUUUUAUUUUUAUCAGAAACGAAGAAAAAUAUAUUAAUAGAAGAAAAGAUACAGGAAAAAGAAAAGUUACAAAAGAAAGAGAAGAAAACAAGGGAAGGAUGAGAGGUCCUUCCUACACAAAUUGAACAAAGGAGAAAACUCCCAACAAUAGAACUCUAAAAACAAAGAGAAACCCCACAUUCUUCAAACUUUUGAAGCACAAACCGCAAUCCAGUUGAGUUGUAAAACACUUAGAGGAACUCUUCUAAAAGCUUCAGUACAAGAAGCCCAUAGAGAAGAAUAGAACCGAAUCAAAUCCCAUAACAUCUCUUUCGUUCUCCCUUUAUCCUCAAAGAUCCUAUUGUUCCUCUCUUGCCACACCAUCCAAAUCAAGAUAAGGCAAGUGAUUUGCCAAAGUGUCUUGCCUCUUAAUGAGUUCCCCAAGCCUUUAAAAGUAAUAACCAACAUGUCCUCAAAACUCCUUGGAGGGACCCAAACCAACCCUGUUAGAUUGAACAACUUGUGCUAGAGUCCAAUGGUAACAGGACAAUGAAGAAAAAGGUGAUCAAUUGACUCUCCAUUACCUUUGCAAAGAAUGCACCAUUGAGGAUAGAGGGAUUCAUAGGGUCUUCUCAAUUGCAACUUAUCAUUGGUGUUUACCUUCCCAUGUGCUACUAACCAAGCGAGGGCCUUAACCUUUGAAGGGGCUUUUGAACUCCACAAGAACUUGGCCGGAAGGAACAAGAUAGGACUUGAGACUUUUGACAAGGCCAAGAGAAAAGAUUUCAUUGAAAACAAUCCUGACGAAGACAAAGACCACGCUCUAGAAUCUACCAAAGAAGGAGAGAAAAACACAGAACUAAGAGAGGACAUUAAUCUCUGAAGGAGAUCAAUUUCUGAUUCUGUAAGAUUGCGGCAAAAGUUAAAAUUCCAAGACAGUGGAAAUGAAUUGCCAAGGACAUUUGAGACAGUGAGGUUUUUCGCAGAAAUAACUUUGUAAAGAUCAACAAAUUGAGAACACAAAGUUUGUUUACCCCACUAGAGAUCUUCCAAAAAACGAAUUCUCUCCCCAUUGCCCACCACUAGGCGGACAAAAGGGGAAAAAAACCUGGAAAACUUGAGCAAUAGCCUUCCAAGGACAUCUGUGUGACCAUCUAACCACCAUGUUGGCGUCCCAUCCAUUAGGAUGUGUCCCAUAUAUACUCGCAAUAACCUUAUGCCAAAGACUACUCCUUUCUCUAGGGAACCUCCAAAGCCAUUUCCCUAAGAGAGCAAUAUUUCUCAUAGAAGUCUUCCCAAAACCCAAACCUCCUAACUCCUUUGGUCUACUAACAAUCUCCCAUCUGAUAAGAUGAUCUUUCUUCCCUUCUUUCGUCCCAGACCAAAGAAAAUCCCUUUGCAUCUUCUCAAUCUUUGAAGCUAUUGAUACUGGGAUUUUAAAGAGGGAGAGGAAGUAGCUAGGGAUGUGAGACAGAUAAGACUGAAUUAAAGUAAUCCUCCCUCCCAAAGACAAAAAGGCCUUUUUCCAACCAUCCAGCCUCCUCGAAAUUCUCUUGACCACUGGAUCCCAAAAGCCUAUUAUCGUUGGGUUCCCUUCCAAUGGAAGGACUAAAUAAGACAAAGGCCACUUUGACACUCUGCAAUCCAAAACUGAGGCCAAACUAGACAACAACUCCUGCCUAGUGUUAAAACCUGAAAUGAUGUUUUUUUCUAAGUUGAUUUUUAAACCAGAUACUUGCCCAAAAACCACAAGGAUAAUCUUGAGGUUUUGAAGAUGUUCCAUAGAGGUUUUAGAGAAAAAGAUAGUGUCAUUAGCAAACUGUAGCAAAGACACUCUAGUCCUAUCCCUCCCCACAAAGAAACCCUCAGUUAUCCCAAUUUCCUCUGCUCUGAUCAUCAACCUACUUAGAACAUUUGCCACCAGAGUAAAAAGGAAAGGAGAAAGGGGGUCUCCUUGUCUCAAACCUCUAGAGGCCUUAACCCAACCCUUUGCAUUCCCAUUAACUAGGAUUGCAAAACUUGAUGAAGACAAACAACCCCUUAUCCAAGAUCUCUAUUUUUGACUGAACCCCUUCCUUUGUAGCACAUGAUCUAAAAAGACCCAAUCCACAUGAUCAUAGGCCUUCUCAAAAUCGAUUUUGAAGACUACCCCUAGCCUUUUUUUUCUCAUCCACCACUUCAUUGGCUAUCAACACAGCAUCCAGAAUGUGUCUCCCUUCAAUAAAGGCUCCUUGAGAGCCAAAGAUUGUUUCAUGAAGAAUUUUGCGUAAACGUCCUGAUAAGACCUUAGCAAUUAUCUUAUAUAAACUUGUAACCAAGCUAAUAGGUCUAUAAUCUGAGAUUUUAAAAGUUUGGCUUUUCUUAGGCACUAUAGCAAUGAAUGUCGCAUUUGUACUUUGAUUUAUUACCCCCUUGGUGUGGAACUCAAGAAACACCCUGAUAAGAUCCUCUUUUAUCACAUCCCAACACUCUUGAUAAACUACUAUAGUAAAGCCAUCAGGACUAGGGGCCUUUUCCUUAUUCAAUUGGAAAAUUGCCAUUUGUACCUCCUCUUCAGAAAAAGGCCUAUCCAGCCAGAUUGCACUCUCUCUAGAAAUAGGGACCCAAUCAAUUCCUUCAAUCCUCCAAGAAUCACCUUCAGGUUUGGAAUAGAGUUUCCCAAAAAAAUUUACAAUCUCCUCAGAGAUAACCUCAAUGUUACUUAAAGUCUCCCCCUUCUCAGAAAUUAGAGACUUAAUGAACUUCGUGCUUCUUCUUCCAGUGGUCAUUCUGUGAAAGAACUUAGAGUUGCAAUCCCCUUCUUUAAUCCAAUACAAUACAAGAGACAUUCAAAAUUUCAGAAUGGAAGAAGGCAGUACAAGAUGAGAUUGAUGCACUUGAGAAGAAUGGGACAUGGACUAUCAUAGAUUUGCCGGUUGUGAAGAGGCCCGUGGGGUGCAAGUGGAUUUUCACCAUAAAAUACAAAGCUGAUGGAUCAGUCGAGAGAUUCAAGGCUCGUUUGGUAGCUAGAGGGUUUACACAGUCCUAUGGGAUAAACUAUCAGGAGACUUUUGCUCUUGUUGCAAAACUGAACACUAUCAGGAUUCUUCUCUCGUUGGCUAUCAAUCAAGAUUGGUGCUUGCAACAACUGGACAUAAAAAAUGCGUUUCUAAAUGGUGACCUAGAAGAGGAAGUCUACAUGGAAAUACCACCUGGUUUCGAAGGAAGUAUGGUAAAGAAUCAGGUUUGCAAACUCCAAAAAUCCUUGUACGGCCUUAAACAAUCUCCCCGAGCCUGGUUUGAUAGAUUCACAAAGGCAGUCUUGAAGCCGGGCUACAAACAAGGUCAGGCUGAUUAUACUUUAUUUGUCAAGAAGUCUCAUGCUGGGAAAAUGACCAUAUUGAUAGUCUAUGUCGAUGAUAUUAUUCUAUCUGGGAAUGAUAUGGAGGAAUUACAGAAUUUGAAGAAGUAUUUGUCAGAAGAGUUUGAAGUUAAAGACCUUGGAAAUUUGAAAUAUUUCCUUGGUAUGGAAGUGGCUAGAUCAAGGAAGGGAAUUGUAGUCUCUCAAAGAAAAUACAUACUUGAUCUUCUUAAGGAGACCGGUAUGCUUGGAUGCAAACCAAUUGAUACUCCUAUGGAUAGUCAAAAGAAACUUGGUAUCGAGAAAGAGAGUACACCGGUAGACCNNNNNNNNNNNNNNNNNNNNNNNNNNNNNNNNNNNNNNNNNNNNNNNNNNNNNNNNNNNNNNNNNNNNNNNNNNNNNNNNNNNNNNNNNNNNNNNNNNNNGAAACUUGGUAUCGAGAAAGAGAGUACACCGGUAGACAGGGGGAGAUAUCAACGACUCGUCGGGCGCUUGAUUUAUCUCUCACACACUCGGCCAGAUAUUGGCUUUGCAGUGAGUGCUGUAAGUCAAUUCAUGCACAGCCCCACUGAGGAACACAUGGAAGCAGUCUACAGGAUUCUUAGAUAUUUAAAAAUGACACCAGGGAAAGGUCUAUUCUUUAGAAAGACAGAGAAUCGUGACACUGAAGUAUACUCAGAUGCGGAUUGGGCAGGAAACAUCAUUGACAGGCGGUCCACUUCUGGAUACUGUUCUUUUGUCUGGGGAAAUCUUGUUACCUGGAGGAGUAAGAAGCAAUCAAUUGUAGCCAGAAAUAGUGCAGAAGCUGAGUACAGAGCUCUAGCACAGGGAAUCUGUGAAGGGAUUUGGAUAAAAAGGGUUCUUAGUGAACUGGGACAAACGAGUUCAUCUCCGAUUCUGAUGAUGUGUGAUAAUCAGGCAGCUAUAAGCAUAGCAAAGAACCCCGUGCAUCAUGACAGGACCAAGCACGUUGAGAUUGACAAACACUUCAUCACAGAGAAGGUGACUAGUGAGACGGUUAAAUUGAACUACGUUCCUACCAAGCACCAAACCGCA